AGGAUAACACCUGACGCACGACAGGUCCAUGAUACAGCAUUCCACGUACAAGAAUAUUCAUCAAAUACAUGUUUAUAAGAUUACAUCAUUGAUGAAUACAAUCUUCUGGCAUAGCCCUAAGGCUAUUUACAUGGCAGAGGAAGUCUAUAUAAAUGGCGGUGGAAGUCUUGGUUUGGCAGCAUAAUACUCUGGUUGGGCUCCAUAACUCACAGGAUUGGCAAGAUUACGACCUAGCACGAUGGAACAAGCGAAUAAUCUGGGCACGACCUACAAAACUGCAUGACACGCCAGGUUAGUACAUUGAAUGUACUUGCAAGACAACCAAAUACAUAGCAUCCAAACGAACAGAUGACAAAGCAAGAACCAAGCAUAUGCAACAAUCUACUUUAGCACAACUUCUAACAUGGCAUGAUAUUAACUGGAAUCAUAAAUCAAACUAAGCAUGAACAACAUCAUAGCAUCUACUAGCAUGGCAUAUCAAACUUACUUCUAACAUAGCAACAACAAAGCAUAGCAUAUCAAAACAUGGCAUGACAUUAAGAAAUUAUGCUGAAAAUAAACUACCAGUUACCUCCCGUGAAGACAUAUAGCAUUAACCUCAUGCAACAAUCACUUACUCUACCACGGCUCCUCGGAGCAAACUUAUGACUUACAGAGACCUCGUCUUGUGCUCAUAUCAACACAUCAUCGUGACUUCUCAUGAUUAUCUCAUAGUUUCCAGUCACCACAUUAUUUAUCACAUCUUAGUUAUCACCUUAGUUAUUAACAGGUUUAUCCUCCAUUUCGACCAAGACCUGAUAGUGUGACCUACUAUGAUCUAUGCCCAUGACCGAGGACGUGGCUAUCGAUAGAUUUAACACACACUCUGCAAAGGUUAGCACACUGUACCCACACCAUGGAACCCAAGGCCUCGUACUCCCAUUCGGGUGGACCAACAGUGUUCUGACAAAACCGAUCUACUGCCAUGGCACUCUCCCGGCUACUCCGACCAACUCCCUCUCAGGGCUAAGUCAUGGGUGGCCCCAUGCCUACCAAAGGCAUCUUCGGCCACCGUCCUGGCAAAAAUGGUCACAAAGGAGGACAUGUGCAUGUUGGGGAUCGUUGCAGAAAUUAAUUUUUUUUCUACGCAUCACCAAGAUCAAUCUAUGGAGUAACUAGCAACGAGAGAUAGGGGAGUGCAUCUUCAUACCCUUGAAGAUCGCGAGUCGGAAGCGUUACAAGAACGCGAAUGAAGGAGUCGUACUCGAAGCGAUUCAGAUCGCGGUGGAUUCCGAUCUUAGCGUCGAACAACGGCACCUCCGCGUUCAACACACGUGCAGCCCGGUGACGUCUCCCACGUCUUGAUCCAGCAAGGAGGAAGGGAGAGGUUGAGGAAGAGGGCUCCAACAGCAGCACGACGGUGUGGUGGUGAUGGAGUGGCAGUACUCCGGCAGGGCUUCGCCAAGCUCUUACGGAGGAGGAGAGGUGUUGGGGAGGGGAGGGGCUGCGCCUUGGAUGUGUUGCUGCAGCCCUCCCCUCGCCCCUCUAUUUAUAUGAUAAGGGGGAAGGGGGGCCAGCCCCCUCUAUAUGAGAUCUAUAGGGGGCGGCAGGGGGAGGGGGCUUGCCCCCCAAGCAAGGGGGGCGCCCCCUUUAGGGUUUCCCCCCCAACCCUAGGUGCAUGGGCCCAAAGGGGGGGGGGGUGGCGCCCAGCCCUCCAAGGGCUGGUUCCCUUCCCUCUACAUCGCAUGAGGCCCUCCGGGAGAGGUGGCCCCUCCCGGUGGCCCCCCGGAACCCUUCCGGUGGCCCCGGUACAAUACUGGUAUGCCCCCGUACAUUUCUGGUAACCGUAUGACAACUUCCCAUAUAUAAAUCUUCACCUCCAGACCAUUCUGGAAAUCCUCGUGACGUCCGGGAUCUCAUCCGGGACUCCUAACAGCAUUCUAUAAUCACAUACAAGUCUUCAUAAUAACCCUAGCGUCAUCGAACCUUAAGUGUGUAGACCCUACGGGUUCGGGAAUCACGCAGACAUGACCGAGAUAGCUCUCCGGUCAAUAACCGACAGCGGGAUCUGGAUACCCAUGUUGGCUCCCAAUGUUACAUGAUGAUCUCAUCGGAUGAACCACGAUGUCGAGGAUUCAAGUAAUCCCGUAUGCAAUUCCCUUUGUCAAUCGGUAUGCUACUCGCCCGAGAUUCGAUCGUCGGUAUCCCAAUACCUCCUUCAGUCUCAUUACCGGCGAGUCACUUUACUCGUUACAUAAUGCAUGAUCCCAUGACUAACCACUUAGUCACAUUCAGCUCAUUAUGAUGAUGCAUUACCGAGUGGGCCCAGAGAUACCUCUCCGUCAUACAGAGUGACAAAUUCCAGUCUCGAUUCGUGCCAACCCAACAGACAGUUUUGAAGAUACCUAUAGUGCACCUUUAUAAUCACCCAGUUACGUUGUGACGUUUGGUUCACCCAAAGCACUCCUACGAUAUCUGGGAGUUACACAAUCUCAUGGUCUAAGGAACUUAUACUUGACAUUAGAAAAGCUUUAGCAAAUGAACUACACGAUCUUGUGCUGUGCUUAGGAUUGGGUCUUGUCCAUCACAUCAUUCUCCUAAUGAUGUGAUCUAGUUAUCAAUGACAUCCAAUGUCCAUAGUCAGGAAACCAUGACCAUAUGUUGAUCAACGAGCUAGUUAACUAGAGGCUUACUAGGGACAUGUUGUGGUCUAUGUAUUCACACAUGUAUCACGGUUUCCGGUUAAUACAAUUAUAGCAUGAACAAUAGACAAUUAUCAUGAACAAGGAAAUAUAAUAAUAAUCAUUUUAUUAUUGCCUCUAGGGCAUAUUUCCAACAGUGCACAUAACCAAACUCGGGCUCACAAGGCUUAUGUCCGCCUACCUGAUCAGCGUAGCGGGCGCCCAUAACCUUCCCUAGUUGGAGGCACCAGCGAGAGGCAUGACAAUAGACCCAGCUAGGGCCUCCCAUAAGGAAAAUGUGGCUGCAUUGGAGAAAGCUCGAUUUGGAGGCACUAUGACUCGAUCCCAUCAAUGACAGAGGAGGUUUAUUAUUAAGUCAUGUUAUUAACUUCUCCACCAUCAUCAAUAUAAUGAGCAUAUUUAACAAUGAUGCAACACUGAGCAUGCAACAUAUAAAUGCAUUAACAUAUCAAGCUAGAAUAGUUGUAGCAUAUCGGACAAAUAUCGGGUACUAGCUUAUCGACAGUGUAACAAAUCAUCAUAGCAUCAAUACUACUGGCAUGAAACUAACCACACCACAAGUAUGAUAUUGUCAAAAACAAUAUGACUAGCAUGGCAAAAGCUAUCAUGAAAGGCAUGGCGUGGCAAGUAAUACUAACAUAUAGCACAACUAAAAUAACUGCAGAAGAAACAGACAAAAAAUACUGCAACUAAGCACACACACGAGGUACCAGCAAAGUUAACAUGCAAUUUCAGGGCUCAUGAUAAGAGGUUAGCUUGCCUAGGGAUCGAGAAAUACUCCGGAAAUGAGUUUGGUCACUCUCGAAAUUUUUUGCCGGAGAGGGGUUCGCUCUCCGAGGGGCAAUGGCAAAGUGGGCAUUUUCAGAACGUGACAACAUAGUGAAAAAUAGUCCCAUCAUAAAGGGCUCGACGAACAAAGAACAUGAGCGUUGGAAUCACCUCAAUCGGAGUUACGGUUGCAAAGUUGUGGUCGUUCACUUUUUAGGCAGAAAUGUGACUUAAACAGUGAACGUUCACAAUUUAACCUUUUCGGCGGGCUGGGCUGAAAACAGAAAGCGCACUUUGAGAAAAUAUGUUUCCAGAGAACAGAAAGUGUACUUUCAGGUAAUACGUUUUCAGGUAAAGAAAGCGCACUACUGAGAAUAUGUCUCCGAAGAAACGAAAGCGCACUUUGUAGUUUGCGUCUCUACUUACGCUGACUGGGCGGCUUCGGUCUAUGGCAAGUGGGGUCACGCGGCGGUGGGGCCGGCUCACUUAUCCACGCUAGCAAGACCAGGUCAACGCCCCUGGGUCGCUGCCAGGUGGGGUCCAUGGCGACUUCUCUCUCCUCCUGCCUGGUCUUCUUCUUGCUCCCGACCGGAGGCACAGGAGGCCGCGGCUACCGGCGCAGCCGACGACUGGCGGCACGGGAUGGCUCGGUGGCGCGCGCAGGAGGUCCGCCACUCCACGCCGCACCCGUGGGUGGUCUCGAAAGGGCUUGGGAUGGUCUGCAGCGUCAGGACCAUGGAGGACGGCGGCGGCCGAGCGCUGCGAGAGGAGGGACUGCGCCGGCGGGGCUCCUCCGCCAGAGUUGAGGGCUGCGGUGGUCUUCAGGUUCCAAGGGGAAGGCUAGGGAGUAGCAAAACAAGCGGGGAAGGGGGCCAUGGCAAGAAUGGCCGAGGGGAUCGGCGGCGGCCAUUCGGCCAUGGGGGCGAAAUAGAGGAGCUCCAAGGCGAGGGCGAAAGCUACGGGUGGCUCAGGGAUGAGUGGAGAGCUGCGGGUGGCUACUUAUAGCCGCGGGGGAAGGCUCGAGAAGGAGGGCGACAUGGCACUCGGCUGGCGACGUGUCACGCUCUAGUGAUGGGCUCGUGCGACCAAGUCUCACGGAAAGCUGCAGGAAGACGACGAGGGGGACGCGGACAAGCACAAGGGGGUCACGGAGUCGAGCUACGCUCGGGGAUGAAAGGAAGAAGAGGACAGGUGCGAGGAAGACGACGGUGCUCACGAACACGCACUGUUCGAUCGUUGGCAUGGCUCGUCGGAGAAGAAAACAAAGGUGGAAAGGGGUCCAAGCGCACGGCGACGAUGAGGCUGAGCCGUUUGACAAGCUGGGACGAGCUAGGGCUGAUUGGAGUAGCUCUUAUGUGGCCAACAGUUUGCAGACCACCGAUUUGGUCAGCAUCACUUAUGAUCACCAAGGGCACUUCACGCUCCGGCCACCUACUUAGUGCAAAACCUUGUUAGUAGAGGAGUCCUUCCAAUGCUCAAUAAAAUUGAGGUGAUGGCACGAGCAGAAGUGUACGGAGCAGAGGGAAACAUGCUCGACAAGUUUGUUGUUGCAAACUUGGCCACAUCUUGGUGAUCAACACAAUGAUCUUAAGGACUAAACUUGAUGUUUGGGAGGUUGAGGCUUGCAAGGACUACGGUCCUGGGAAGUUGGAAGGGAUUUGGGCAAGUAUUUAACAUAGCUACAGUACAACUGUCAAAUAUGGCCCAGAAAACAAAUGAGGAAGGAGCACUCACUAGGAGUGUUAGAUUGGGCUACCACUUGGCAAUUCUCCAUGAUUUGGUCAUAUGUAGAUGCUGCAAAAAGAUCAUACCUAAUGGACUUGCCAAAUUGGUACUUGUUUCACAAGCAGCACUUCUGACCAGAAACUUGGGAAAAUUGUAGGAAAAUAUUGGCCAAACUCUUGGGUAGGUGGGUUAUAUGGAUAUGAGAAGGCUUGCGAAUAUUUGCAGCUAUAAUGGAGCAUGAUAAAAUAUACUUGCUUCACAAAAUAAAAAUUUGGAUAGAGAACAAGAAUUACUCCUGUGCUCACAUAGAUAAAUUAAAUGAGCUGAAUUUGGGUGGAGGCCAAUGGUUUGGGAUACUUGAGAGGAUGGAAAAGUUUCAUCCCAUUUGAAAACUCUAUGAAGGUACUUCCUUCACAAAGUUGCAUUCUGGUCACAAACUUUGAAAAUUUGCACAGGGAGCUAGGAUGAAUGGAUUGAGCUCAUCUUUGGUAUCCAUGGGUGAUUUAUCAAGGUCAAUCACCCUGCCAAAUUUCAGCUCAAUAGGUAUCAGGAAUAAAGCACUUCCUUUGCAAAAUUUCAAAGAAGGCAGAAACUUGCAUUGGAUCAUGUGCCCAAUUUUUGAUCCGUGGAACAUGAGAAAAGGAUGGAACUAGUGAUUAUAUAGCAAGGACAACCUCCACAAUUUAUGUGGGAAUUUUCUUUCUAUAAAAAUAGUAGUUCCUUUAGAAAAUGGUAGAAAUGCAAUAUUGGCAUAAAAUAAGAAAAUGCAAUUUCCUUUUUAAUUAUGGCCAAUAUCUUUGGUAGAGCUUGGAUUAGGCAUAAUUAUCAACUCCAUCAAUCCUCAUGAAUUUAGGAGAUGACUAGAUAUGCCUUUGGAUUUUAUACCUCAGAAAUGCAGGAAAAGGAAUAAAUCAUAAUUCAAAAAUAUUACAUGGUAUUUAGCAAUAUUUUUGCAUAUCCAAGGUUUGGAAGGAUAGGAGAGUCUCUGGGAACAUAUGGGAUGAUCAACAGAUCAAGGAAAAUGAUAGCGCCUUUGUAAUCACAAAGGCCAUAUUCAAAUUCCAAAAUUGGAAUUAGGGUUUGAGAGGGUUUGAGCUGAUGCAAAUGAGGUCUUGCCCACUGACAAAGACAUGAGCAAGGUUCUGAAAGGUUGGAAAUGGCAAGAAGCCUCAGAGUCAUCCAACAAAACUCAGGGGAAGGAUUUUGAAAAUGAGUGCCAGGAAGGAAUAACAGCACAUAAAUUGAUAACCCAAUUUUGGGGCUGUAACAACAAGAAUCUCGUCCUCGAGAUUCCUAGGGUUACAACACGAAAGGAAAGAAUAACCACUCCGGGGAAAAACCUCUGGGUUAAUUUUAACUCUUUGGUCAAAUUUGAACGAGUUGGGGGCACCGAUAAUUGGUACACCCAGGAAGAGAUAUGGGCAAACACGGCUAUAUCCACGGCUAGGGGCAAUCGAGAUCAAACUCUCGAAAAAUUGCUAGAUGCACCCCAGUGAACAGUGGUUUCACCUACUGACAUGUGGGUCCAGGGCCCACUGGCAGCCUCCUUCUUCUACCUCCGGCUAGCUGCUUCUCCUUCGAUGCUGCUCUGCGUGCGGCUUGGCACAACGCGCAUCUAGCUCCUAGGGCAAUGAGGACCCUAGUGCCGCAGUGCGCAACAGGCACGGCGUCGGUGCAGCAAGUACCCACGUCACGGGCCAGCACCUUGUCGGCAUGACUCACGGAUUAUCCUCCUGGACGUCGGUAAUCAUGUAACGCCCCGGAUUCGAUGCGCUAGGUGUCAUUCAGUUAUUCGCCGUCGUUGCCAUGUCAGCUGCUUGCAUGUUGCAUUUUGCCAUGUCAUCAUCUGCAUUUCAUCUGCAUGUUUUUCAAAACUUGCAUCCGUUCGGGUUCCGCCGGUUCUCUCCGUUGUCCGUUCCGAGUCCGGACACACUCGCACGCGCCCGCGGCACCUCCGAAAUAUUAUUUUAUAAGUGGCAUAAAAAUGUUCUCGGAAUGGGAUGCAACUUGGCGUGCGGUCUUAUUAUAGUGUAGACAGGCGCCUGUCAAGUUUCGUCGCAUUCGGAGCUCGUUUGAUAGCCCAACCGUUAAAUAUAUAGCGGUACCGUUGCCGGUAUCUUCGUCGGAAGUUUCGGUAUUCGAAACUGCCGCCGGGCCUCUCUCUCGCUUCUCUCCCUAAGCCCAACGCCUUGUCUUCACAGCCCGCCUGCAGCCCAGCUACCCCCCCUCGGUUCCGGACCGUCAGAUCGCGAUCUAAGGGCUCCGAAACCCCCCUCAAACCACCUAAACCUAAUCCUUGCCUAUUUAAACACCACCCAUAUGCCAUUUUUGGCCUCCACCUACCUCCUCCCUCAAUUUCAGCCACAGCCAACCAUCUCCACCUNNNNNNNNNNNNNNNNNNNNNNNNNNNNNNNNNNNNNNNNNNNNNNNNNNNNNNNNNNNNNNNNNNNNNNNNNNNNNNNNNNNNNNNNNNNNNNNNNNNNNNNNNNNNNNNNNNNNNNNNNNNNNNNNNNNNNNNNNNNNNNNNNNNNNNNNNNNNNNNNNNNNNNNNNNNNNNNNNNNNNNNNNNNNNNNNNNNNNNNNNNNNNNNNNNNNNNNNNNNNNNNNNNNNNNNNNNNNNNNNNNNNNNNNNNNNNNNNNNNNNNNNNNNNNNNNNNNNNNNNNNNNNNNNNNNNNNNNNNNNNNNNNNNNNNNNNNNNNNNNNNNNNNNNNNNNNNNNNNNNNNNNNNNNNNNNNNNNNNNNCCGGCGCGCCUCCGCCACUCCCCGCCAGGUCGCCGCCCGUCGCCCCUCUUCCUCUCCUUUUCUCUCCCUCACCCUCUCUGCCCCGCAGGGUACCGCCGCCGCCGCCAUGUAUGGCUGCCCCGCCCGCGAAGCUCCGCCGCCCCGGUGCCCCGUCGGCCUCGGGAACCAGAAAAUCCGGCGCCCCGCGCCCAGAUCCGCCAGUCCCCGUCGCUAGCGCCCCUCCUCCGUGCCCCAUCGCCGAGUCCCGCCGCCCCCCAUCGCCGUUCGCCGCCGGCGCCGUCGUGCUCCGCCUCGGGCAGGAGUUGCGACCGCAUGGGCCAGCGGCCCCUCAGGGGUGCCUCCGCGGCCCACCAGCGCGGCCCACGCCCGGCCUCGCCCUGGCCCACCUCCCCGCAACCUGGGCCGAGCCCACUAGGUGAGCAGGACACCUAUCCCGCGCCCGUGCGACUUAUAACUAUUUUACGCUCGAUCUGUUUUUUUUCCAGAAACUGCUAAGUCCCCAGAAACUCAUAAAAUGUUGCAUACUUUGACCUGCUGCAUCUCUGCAUCCGUAGCUCCGUUUUGUGCAUGCAAUAUGUCAAAUUGUUCGCCUCGACGAGUACAUCAUUUCGUUCCAUUGCAUCAUAUUCAUUUGAGGUCAUCUUGAUGCCUGAAUCAUCGUUGUAAGAGUGCUUCAUUAUGUUUUCUGCUGUCUGUUAACAGAACGAGCUCUUUUGUCAUUUUUGCUAUGAUUGAUGUGUGCAUCCUAUGAGGUUGAUGUCUACAUGUGUUUUGAACUAUGCUAUGUCUUAUUUACAGAGGUGCUUACCAUGUCUUUUUGUGAUCAAUUUGGUGACUAGCACAAGCAUGUAAACUAGGCUUCGUGAUGUUGCUGAUUUUAGUCCCUGUUCUGCUGUUAUUUUGAUGCCAUGUAAACUUGAUGCUACAGAGAGAUCCAUGCAUAUUUUGAGAUACUUCAGUAAGGGUGUUUUGAACAUAUGGUUAUUUUCUAUCCAUUCAUGCCCUUGGUUGAAAUUAUGGAGUAGUCUAGCAUGUCCUUUUCGUGCUCUACUUUUGCUUCAAAAUGUUUACUGGCAGAUUGUUUACUUGUUAUUCAAUUUGGCCAAGCUUGCUAUAGUUGAUCCUUGCAUGCUAUGGACUUGUUCUCGACUUGGGUUGUUUCACAAACAUGUCUUCUUGAUGAUGCUAUGCUUAUCUUGUCAUGCAAUGACUUGUGGUGAGUGUAUAGAGCUUGUUAAGUAGUGUUCAUGAUGUUGCUAUUUUGCUAGGCUGAAUCUGUUAUUUCGCGAUGCUAUGUAAACAUGUUGCUACUAAUCAUUUUAUGCAUAAUCUGGAGAUGUUCUAUAAACAUGUUUCGAUCUACAUGUCAUCCUAUAUCCAUCCAUGCCCCUGGUUGCAUUUAUAGGUUACUGUAGCUUGUUUUUAUCUUGCUUCAAAGUUGCUUCAUAAUGUUGUUGUCAGCCCGUUAAUAUUAAGUUUAGUUGUUUACAUUUUUUUUCUAGUGAUCCAUGCAUCCUAUGACCUUGCUAUUGCCAUUCUUAGCUUCACAAAUAUGUCUUCUUACUGUUGGGUGCCUUGCCAUGCCAUGUAUUGCUCUGUAGUGAGUUGCACAAGUUCUUCUAUAUGCCUUCAUAAUUAUGUUUCUGCCAUGUAUGAAUCUGUAUAAUAACUUGCUAUGUUUACGUGGGUGCCAUCAUAUUUUCCGAUCCUUUUUGGCUUAUGGUCAGUAAGGAUCUUUUGAUCUAUGCAUUUAGUAUAUUCAUGCCAUGCCUUUGUUUGCCAUGAUAAGUUCCUGUAACAUGUUGUUUGAUAGCUCUAAACAUUGCAUCGUGAUGUUAUUUUCUGCAAAGUCUGAAAUUGUUAUAACUUGCAAUCUUACCAUGUGUGUUUGAGUAUGUUCUAGUGAUUUCUGGAGAUAGCUCAGUGUUCAUAUUUUGUUGUGCUUUACCUUUACAUCAUGCCCAUGCCUUUUGUUAUUAUGUUGGGGUGCUGUAGCUUGUUGUUUUGGUGCUCGCAAUAUGCCUAGUUGCUGUUUUGGACAGCUUGUCCUUUAAACUUGUUUCAUGUGUGUGUGUUGAACCGUUGCUCCGUUUUGAGUGUGCUCUAUAUGAAACUUGCUUGAUUUUGCAUGUAGCUUCAUAUUAUAAUGUUGCAUCCUUGUUUUGAGGUGUUUGCUUGAUGUUUGGGUGUAUUUUGCAUCAAUGCCAUGUUUAACUUGUGUUGCUCAUAUCUUCUAGGCCGUAGCUCCGAACUAAAUGAACUUUAUAUGUAACUUGACUAGAAUCUCAUGUAGAUCAUCUUGGUGCAUCUUAACUUGCUAUUUAACAACUUAAACAUAAGGUUUGUUCAGAUCUGGACCAAUUUCGAAAUAUGCAUAUGAGGACUUACUGGAAUUGUUAUAUGUUGUUCACGGCCUCAUUUAAAGUUGCCUUGAUGUGUUGUUCUUGUUUGCAUCAUAUCUUGCCAUGAGUAGCUUCAUGUAGCUUUGUCAUGCAAUAUGCUCGUGUGUGCAUCAUGUCUUGUUCAUGUGUGGUGUGUUUACCAUGUUGUGUGCUUCUUCUUGUUAUUUCCUGUUUCGUUGCGAUCGUGAGGAUCCGUUCGUCUACGCUUGGUUCGGCUUCAUGCGUUCGUCUUCUUCAUGGACUCGUUCUUCUUCCUUGUGGCAUUUCAGGCAAGAUGACCGCUACCCUGGAUCUCACUACUAUCAUUGCUAUGCUAGUUGCUUCGUUCUAUCGCUUUGCUGCGCUACCUAUUACCUGUUUAUCAAGCCAUCCCAUAUUUCCAUGAACCUCUAACCUUUGACACCUUUUCUAUGCAAACCGUUGUUUGGCUAUGUUACCGCUUUUGCUCAGCCCCUCUUAUAGCGUUACUAGUUGCAGGUGAAGUGAAGAUUUCUCCAUGGUGGACAGGAUUUUGAUUGGGAUAUCACAAUAUCUCUUAUAUUAUUAAUGCAUCUAUAUACUUGGUAAAGGGUGGAAGACUCGGCCUUUUGCCUAGUGUUUUGUUCCACUCUUGCUGCCCUAGUUUCCAUCAUACCGGUGUUAUGUUCCCGGAUUUUGCGUUCCUUACGCGGUCGGGUGAUUUAUGGGACCCCCUUGACAGUUCGCUUUGAAUAAAACUCCUCCAGCAAGGCCCAACCUUGGUUUUACCAUUUGCCUCACCACCACCUACCCUUUCCCUUGGGUCGGCCAACCCGAGGGUCAUCUUUAUUUUAGUUCCCCCCGGGCCAGUGCUUGUCUAAGUGUUGGUCCGAACUGAGCUGCCUGCGGGGCCACCUCGGGGCAACUUGAGGGUUGGUUUUACUCGUAGCUAGUCUCAUCCGGUGUUGCCCUGAGAAUGAGAUAUGUGCAGCUCCUAUCGGGAUUGUCGGCGCAUCGGGCGGCUUUGCUGGUCUUGUUUUACCAUUGUCGAAAUGUCUUGUAAACCGGGAUUCCGAGUCCGAUCGGGUCUUCCUGGGAGAAGGUCUAUUCCUUCGUUGAUCGCGAGAGCUUGUCAUGGGCUAAGUUGGGACACCCCUGCAGGGUAUAAUCUUUUGAAAGCCGUGCCUGCGGUUAUAGGCAGAUGGGAAUUUGUUAAUGUCCGGUUGUAGAUAACUUGACACCAGAUCCGAAUUAAAACGCAUCAACCGCGUGUGUAGCCGUGAUGGUCUCUUCUCGGCGGAGUCCGGGAAGUGAACACGGUUUCUGUGUUAUGUUUGACGUAAGUAGGAGUUCAGGAUCACUUCUUGAUCAUUACUAGUUGAAGACCGUUCUGUUUGCUCUCUUGUCGCUCUUAUUUGCGUAUGUUAGCCACCAUAUCUGCUUAGUUGCUGCUGCAACCUCACCACUUUACCCCGUCCUUUCCUAUUAAGCUUUGCUAGUCUUGAUACCCAUGGUAAUGGGAUUGCUGAGUCCUCGUGGCUCACAGAUUACUACAACAACAGUUGCAGGUACAGGUUAUGCGAUGAUCAUGACGCGAGAGCGAUGCUUGCUUGCGUUGAGUUCUUCUUCUGCUUCUUCUUUGAUCAGGGGAUAGGUUCCAGGUCGGCAGCCUGGGCUAGCAGGGUGGAUGUCGUUUGAGUUUCUGUUUGUGUUUCAUCCGUAGUCGGAUGAUGCUCUGAUGUAUUGUGAUGUUGUAUUCAUGUGGCAUUGUAUGCCUUAUGUAUGUAUCCCCAUCUAUUAUGUAAUGUUGAUGUAAUGAUAUCCACCUUGCAAAAGCGUUUCAAUAUGCGGGUCUAUCCUUGGUGGGACCUUCGAGUUCCUUUUGGAUAGGGUCGCAUAUUGGGCGUGACAAGUUGGUAUCAGAGCCUCGACCGACCCUAGGAGCCCCCUUGUUUGAUCGUGUAGUUUGGCCGUUGUUGAGUCUAGAAGAAAACUAUUUUCAGAGUCUAGUUAUAUCGGAGAGUAGGAAUUCUUUUUACUCCUCAGCCCCUUCGUCGCUCUGGUAAGGAAUCUUGAUGUAGGUGUUUUGAAUUACUCCUCUUCCCUUUUCAAAUUUUUCCUUAGGAUCACGCAGUUGGUUUUUCGAUCGUUGUUCCUCAGCUCUUUUUAUCUGGUGCAUUUCUCGUCAAGUCGACUUGAGCCUCUUCAUCUUUGAGUUCAAUCCUCAGUUGUUUUCUUUCCCACCCGCCCACCCUUCUUCUUCUCGGAACCGGAGUCCGUAAUCGAGUAUCCAUCCUACUCAUGUGAAGUCUUUGAUUUCUUUCCUCAAUGAUUUCAACCGGUGUUUUUCUCUUCNNNNNNNNNNNNNNNNNNNNNNNNNNNNNNNNNNNNNNNNNNNNNNNNNNNNNNNNNNNNNNNNNNNNNNNNNNNNNNNNNNNNNNNNNNNNNNNNNNNNNNNNNNNNNNNNNNNNNNNNNNNNNNNNNNNNNNNNNNNNNNNNNNNNNNNNNNNNNNNNNNNNNNNNNNNNNNNNNNNNNNNNNNNNNNNNNNNNNNNNNNNNNNNNNNNNNNNNNNNNNNNNNNNNNNNNNNNNNNNNNNNNNNNNNNACCCUUUUCUUCCCGGAGUCUGACUCUCUCUCGACCAUCUGUCUCAUUCGUGUGGAGCCUCUUCAGUCUUUCGUCAAUCAUCUCAACCCGUGAAUUCUCAUCUCGGUGGACAUUCUUCAUCUCUUUUUCUUUUCCAGUUGAUUCAAUUCAAGUUUUCGGGUUGAUCAUAUUCUUUCCUCGGCUCAAAUGUUUCCCCUUGCUCGUUUGCCUCUCGCUAGUUUAUCCUUCCAGAGUAUUCAAGACAUCUCAGGAGAUUCGUCUGUGUUUGAAUUAAUUCGAGGUUGUCACCUCAUUCUAAUAUUUCAAUUGUUCCGGUGCAGCAUAUAUUUGUUCAUCAAUCCUUUUCAACGGUGUUAUCUCUUCAGUGGGCCCUAACCCACAGGUCUUUUCCCAGGAUCUUACCUGACUCUUCUAAUUCCCCCGGAUUAUUCUCAAAUUCUUUUCAAAGUGUGACGUAAGAAUGAAUUUCAUCAGUCACAUGCCUUUUCCAAGAUCGAUUUCAAAUCAUUUCAUUGUUGGCUCAACCUCUUUGCUUUUUCAUUCUCCCGGAGUAUCUCAGUAAUUUCGAUGGUGUUUCUCGUCGUCAUUUGAAGACCGAAGAAGAGUCCUUCCUCUAAAUCUUGUCUCGUCUCCCGAAGAUUUGUGGUUCCAACUUCAUAUUAUCCUCUCGAAUUAUUCCAUUCGUUAGAUAUUCUUUUCUUAACCAUCCGGAGUUUGUCAGGAGCUGUUUUUCCAUUUCUUUCACCGGAGGCCAUCAUUCCAAUUAUCAUUAUCCAAUUAUCCCGGUGCUUCGUUCAAGUGUUCUUUAAUCAACUCAUGAUCUCUUUGUUCUUCUGCUUCUAAAUCCCCUCGAGCAUAUUGGUUCUUCUAAUUCUUCCCGGAGAUUCAUUCUCUUUCACCAGUCAUUUUCGAAUUCUUACGGUGGUUCGUUCAAGAUUAUUUUUCCUUGAUUAUCAUUUUAAUCCAUUCAUUCUUUCCAAUCCUACCGGUGGUUCAUGAAGACUUUCUCAAGUUUUGUGCUAUAUCUCUUCUCAAUCCUUUUUCAAGAAGAAUAAGUAAUAUGCAAAAUCCAUUGGUUGUCCUCAAUUUAACUUGAUGAAGGAUAAGCAUACAAUAAAUCUUAUUCUUAUUUCAUCCAAGUGAGUAAUCUUUUCCUUCAGAGUUUGUUCUUGAUGAAUAAAUUCUAGUUCCAAGUGUUUGCAUCUUUAUUCUUUUCCGGAGUUCAAUUUUUCAUCGACUAUUUCGUCAGAACCUCCAUCUAAAUCAUCGCAAGGCUCAUCUUAUUCUUUCAUCCUUCAUUCUAUCUCAUCAUCCUUUUGUUACCGGAGUUCUUCAUGGUGGUUCUUCAUGAUUUAAUUCAUUCUCUCAAGAGUUCAUCAAGAUUCUUGUUGGUGGAGUUAAAGUAUCUUUUCUUCUCACGUCUUCAAGCGCAAAUAAUUCUUCAUUUUCUUCUGAAGUGGAAUUUUGCAUUUCUUCGUUCUUCUUAGAUAUUCAAAUCCGAUUAAUCCUUCCUUCUAAGCUCUUUUCAUAGUCUAUUUGAUCCCGUGAGCUUUCGAUUCUCGCCAUUCUCGUCAUUCCUCUCUUCUUCUCGAGUGCUCUCGAUUCCUUGUUUCUUCUCUUGAGUUCUUGUUUCACCUCUUCCCUUUUCUCUUCCGUCUCGGUCCUAAGAUCUCGGGACGAGAUCUCUUGUUAGUGGAGGAGUGUUGUAACGCCCCAGAUUCGAUGCGCCAGGUGUCAUUCAGUUAUUCGCCGGCGUUGCCAUGUCAGCUGCUUGCAUGUUGCAUUUUGCCAUGUCAUCAUCUGCAUGUUUUUCAAAACUUGCAUCCGUUCGGGUUCCGCCGGUUCUCUCUGUUGUCCGUUCCGAGUCUGGACACACUCGCACGCGCCCGCGGCACCUCCGAAAUAUUAUUUUAUAAGUGGCAUAAAAAUGUUCUCGAAAUGGGAUGCAACUUGGCGUGCGGUCUUAUUAUAGUGUAGACAGAGCGCUUGUCAAGUUUCGUCGCAUUCAGAGCUUGUUUGAUAGCCCAACCGUUAAAUAUAUAGCGGUACCGUUGCCGGUAUCUUCGUCGGAAGUUUCGGUAUUCGAAACUGCCGCCGGACCUCUCUCUCGCUUCUCUCCCUAAGCCCAACGCCUUGUCUUCACAGCCCGCCUAUAGCCCAGCUACCCCCCCUCGGUUCCGGACCAUCAGAUCGCGAUCUAAGUGCUCCGAAACCCCCCUCAAACCACCUAAACCUAAUCCCUGCCUAUUUAAACACCACCCAUAUGCCAUUUUUGGCCUCCACCUACCUCCUCCCUCAAUUUCAGCCGCAGCCAACCAUCUCCACCUCGAAAUCCGUGCCCAGCCAGCACCCCGCCGCCACUUGGCGCCGCCCCAACGGCCAGCCACCGCCCUGCGCCGCCGCGCNNNNNNNNNNNNNNNNNNNNNNNNNNNNNNNNNNNNNNNNNNNNNNNNNNNNNNNNNNNNNNNNNNNNNNNNNNNNNNNNNNNNNNNNNNNNNNNNNNNNNNNNNNNNNNNNNNNNNNNNNNNNNNNNNNNNNNNNNNNNNNNNNNNNNNNNNNNNNNNNNNNNNNNNNNNNNNNNNNNNNNNNNNNNNNNNNNNNNNNNNNNNNNNNNNNNNNNNNNNNNNNNNNNNNNNNNNNNNNNNNNNNNNNNNNNNNNNNNNNNNNNNNNNNNNNNNNNNNNNNNNNNNNNNNNNNNNNNNNNNNNNNNNNNNNNNNNNNNNNNNNNNNNNNNNNNNNNNNNNNNNNNNNNNNNNNNNNNNNNNNNNNNNNNNNNNNNNNNNNNNNNNNNNNNNNNNNNNNNNNNNNNNNNNNNNNNNCGAGUCCUCGUCGCCACCGCCAGCCUCCACCGCCGCCGGCGCGCCUCCGCCACUCCCCGCCAGGUCGCCGCCCGUCGCCCCUCUUGCUCUCCUUUUUCUCCCUCACCCUCUCUGCCCCGCAGGGUACCGCCGCCGCCGCCAUGUAUGGCUGCCCCGCCCGCGAAGCUCCGCCGCGCCGGUGCCCCGUCGGCCUCGGGAACCGGAAAAUCCGGCGCCCCGCGCCCAGAUCCGCCGGUCCCCGUCGCUAGCGCCCCUCCUCCGUGCCCCAUCGCUGAGUCCCGCCGCCCCCAUCUCCGUUCGCCGCCGGCGCCAUCGUGCUCCGCCUCGGGCAGGAGUUGCGACCGCAUGGGCCAGCGGCCCCUCAAGGCGCCUCCGCGGCCCACCAGCGCGGCCCACGCCCGGCCUCGCCCUGGCCCACCUCCCCGCAACCUGGACAGAGCUCACUAGGUGAGCCGGACACCUAUCCUGCGCCCGUGCGACUUAUAACUAUUUUACGCUCGAUCUGUUUUUUUCUUCAGAAACUGCUAAGUCCCCAGAAACUCAUAAAAUGUUGCAUACUUUGACCUGCUGCAUCUCUGCAUCCGUAGCUCCGUUUUAUGUGUGUAAUAUGUCGAAUUGUUCGCCUCGACGAGUACAUCAUUUCAUUCCAUUGCAUCAUAUUCAUUUGAGGUCAUCUUGAUGCCUGAAUCAUCGUUGUAAGAGUGCUUCAUUAUGUUUUCUGUUGUCUGUUAACAGAACGAGCUCUUUUGUCAUUUUUGCCAUGAUUGAUGUGUGCAUCCUAUGAGGUUGAUGUCUACAUGUGUUUUGAACUAUGCUAUGUCUUCUUUAUAGAGGUGCUUACCAUGUAUUUUUGUGAUCAAUGUGGUGACUAGCACCAGCAUGUAAACUAGGCUUCGUGAUGUUGCUGAUUUUAGUCCCUGUUCUGCUGUUAUUUUGAUGCCAUGUAAACUUGAUGCUACAGAGAGAUCCAUGCAUAUUUUGAGAUACUUUAGUAAGGGUGUUUUGAACAUAUGGUUAUUGUCUAUCCAUUCAUGCCCUUGGUUGCAAUUAUGGAGUAGUCUAGCAUGUCCUUUUCGUGCUCUACUUUUGCUUCAAAAUGUUUACUGGCAGAUUGUUUACUUGUUAUUCAAUUUGGCCAAGCUUGCUAUAGUUGAUCCUUGCAUGCUAUGGACUUGUUCUCGACUUGGGUUGUUUCACAAACAUGUCUUCUUGAUGAUGCUAUACUUAUCUUGUCAUGCAAUGACUUGUGGUGAGUGUAUCGAGGUUGUUAAGUAGUGUUCACGAUGUUGCUGUUUUGCUAGGCUGAAUCUGUUAUUUCGCGAUGCUAUGUAAACAUGUUGCUACUAAUCAUUCUAUGCAUAAUCUGGAGAUGUUCUAUAAACAUGUUUUGAUAUACAUGUCAUCCUAUAUCCAUCCAUGCCCCUGGUUGCAUUUAUAGGUUACUGUAGCUUGUUCUUAUCUUGCUUCAAAGUUGCUUCAUAAUGUUGUUGUCAGCCCGUUAACAUUAAGUUCAGUUGUUUACAUUUUUUUCUAGUGAUCCAUGCAUCCUAUGACCUUGCUAUUGCCAUGCUUAGCUUCACAAAUAUGUCUUCUUACUGUUGGGUGCCUUGCCAUGCCAUGUAUUGCUCUGUAGUGAGUUGCACAAGCUCUUCUAUAUGCCUUCAUAAUUAUGUUCCUGCCAUGUAUGAAUCUGUAUAAUAACUUGCUAUGUUUACGUGGGUGCCAUCAUAUUUUCUGAUCCUUUUUGGCUUAUGGUCAGUAAGGGUCUUUUGAUCUAUGCAUUUAGUAGAUUCAUGCCAUGCCUUUGUUUACCAUGAUAAGUUCCUGUAACAUGUUGUUUGAUAGCUCUAAACAUUGCAUCGUGAUGUUAUUUUCUGCAAAGUCUGAAAUUGUUAUAACUUGCAAUCUUACCAUGUGUGUUUGAGUAUGUUCUAGUGAUUUCUGGAGAUAGCUCAGUGUUAAUGUUUUGUUGUGCUUUACCUGUACAUCAUGCCCAUGCCUUUUGUUAUUAUGUUUGGGUGCUGUAGCUUGUUUUUUUGGUGCUCGCAAUAUGCCUAGUUGCUGUUUUGGACAGCUUGUCCUUUAAACUUGUUUCAUGUGUGUGUGUUCAACCGUUGCUCCGUUUUGAGUGUGCUCUAUAUGAAACUUGCUUGAUUUUGCAUGUAGCUUCAUAUUAUCAUGUUGAAUCCUUGUUUUGAGGUGUUUGCUUGAUGUUUGGGUGCAUUUUGCAUCAAUGCCAUGUUUAACUUGUGUUGCUCAUAUCUUCUAGGCCGUAGCUCCGAACUAAAUGAACUUUAUAUGUAACUUGACUAGAAUCUCGUGUAGAUCAUCUUGGUGCAUCUUAACUUGCUGUUUAACAACUUGAACAUAAGGUUUGUUCAGAUCUGGACCAAUUUUGAAAUAUGCAUAUGAGGACUUACCGGAAUUGUUAUAUGUUGUUCACGGCCUCAUUUAAACUUGCCUUGAUGUGUUGUUCUUGUUUGCAUCAUAUCUUGCCAUGAGUAGCUUCAUGUAGCUUUGUCAUGCAUCAUGCUCGUGUGUGCAUCAUGUCUUGUUCAUGUGUGGUGUGUUUACCAUGUUGUGUGCUUCUUCUUGUUAGUUCCUGUUUCGUUGCGAUCGUGAGGAUCCGUUCGUCUACGCUUGGUUCAUCUUCAUGCGUUCGUCUUCUUCAUGGACUCAUUCUUCUUCCUUGCGGGAUUUCAGGAAAGAUGACCGCUACCCUGGAUCUCGCUACUAUCAUUGCUAUGCUAGUUGCUUUGUUCUAUCGCUUUGCUGCGCUACCUAUUACCUGUUUAUCAAGCCAUCCCAUAUUGCCAUGAACCUCUAACCUUUGACACCUUUCCUAUGCAAACCGUUGUUUGGCUAUGUUACCGCUUUUGCUCAGCCCCUCUUAUAGUGUUGCUAGUUGCAGGUGAAGUGAAGAUUUCUCCAUGGUGGACAGGAUUUUGAUUGGGAUAUCACAAUAUCUCUUAUAUUAUUAAUGCAUCUAUAUACUUGGUAAAGGGUGGAAGACUCGGCCUUUUGCCUGGUGUUUUGUUCCACUCUUGCCGCCCUAGUUUCCGUCAUACCGGUGUUAUGUUCCCGGAUUUUGCGUGCCUUACGCGGUCGGGUGAUUUAUGGGACCCCCUUGACAGUUCGCUUUGAAUAAAACUCCUCCAGCAAGGCCCAACCUUGGUUUUACCAUUUGCCUCACCACCACCUACCCUUUCCCUUGGGUCGGCCAACCCGAGGGUCAUCUUUAUUUUAGCCCCCCCGGGCCAGUGCUUGUCUAAGUGUUGGUCCGAACUGAGCUGCCUGCGGGGCCACCUCGGGGCAACUUGAGGGUUGGUUUUACUCGUAGCUAGUCUCAUCCGGUGUUGCCCUGAGAGCGAGAUAUGUGCAGCUCCUAUCGGGAUUGUCGGUGCAUCGGGCGGCUUUGCUGGUCUUGUUUUACCAUUGUCGAAAUGUCUUGUAAACCGGGAUUCCGAGUCUGAUCGGGUCUUCCUGGGAGAAGGUCUAUUCCUUUGUUGAUCGCAAGAGCUUGUCAUGGGCUAAGUUGGGACACCCCUGCAGGGUAUGAUCUUUCGAAAGCUGUGCCUGCGGUUAUAGGCAGAUGGGAAUUUGUUAAUGUCCGGUUGUAGAUAACUUGACACCAGAUCCGAAUUAAAACGCAUCAACCGCGUGUGUAGCCGUGAUGGUCUCUUCUCGGCGGAGUCCGGGAAGUGAACAUGGUUUCUGUGUUAUGUUUGAUGUAAGUAGGAGUUCAGGAUCACUUCUUGAUCAUUACUAGUUGAUGACCGUUCUGUUUGCUCUCUUCUCGCUCUUAUUUGCGUAUGUUAGCCACCAUAUCUGCUUAGUUGCUACUGCAGCCUCACCACUUUACCCCGUCUAUUAAGCUUUGCUAGUCUUGAUACCCAUGGUAAUGGGAUUGCUGAGUCCUCGUGGCUCACAGAUUACUACAACAACAGUUGCAAGUACAGGUUAUGCGAUGAUCAUGACGCGAGAGCGAUGCUUGCUUGCGUUGAGUUCUUCUUCUGCUUCUUCUUCGAUCAGGGGAUAGGUUCCAAGUCGGCAGCCUGGGCUAGCAGGGUGGAUGUCGUUUGAGUUUCUGUUUGUGUUUCAUCCGUAGUCGGAUGAUGCUCUGAUGUAUUGUGAUGUUGUAUUCAUGUGGCAUUGUAUGCCUUAUGUAUGUAUCCCCAUCUAUUAUGUAAUGUUGACGUAAUGAUAUCCACCUUGCAAAAGCGUUUCAAUAUGCGGGUCUAUCCUUGGUGGGACCUUCGAGUUCCUUUUGGAUAGGGUCGCAUAUUGGGCGUGACAAAUUAGGCGACGAGCGGUUUUCCUGGACCUUUCUCACCGUGCAUCAGGGGUGGGCUAUAAAAACGGUAGCGCGGCUCUCUUCCAAUACACAAACACAAUGCCACUCUACUACCUCUUUGGUUUGGAAGGGAUCGAGCCAAGCUCCUUUGGCGAGGCUGUGUUCCUGGUGGCGCUGUGGUGGUUCCUAGCUGCUCUGCUGGGCCCGCUGAUCGGCUCGUCGUUCCUCCUGGUGAUACUCAUUAGGAACGAGCGGGCUCGAGGCAACGCGCGGCUGGGUGCGGUGGCUCGAGGUGCGGAAGAAGAUGGUGCACGGGGUGGUCCUCUACCACGCUUGAUUCUCCGUCGCUUCCCGCCGGCGGAGUAAUCGCGUGCUGUAGUGGAGCGAUGGUGGUGACUUGUCGACGCCACGCAAGGCAGUGAUGGUGGUGGUGAUGGGGUUCGGAUGCGGGUGAGGUGUUUAUGCCAGCUCAGGAAUCAAGCUAGGGCACGGAAAUUUUUUUGCGGAUUACUCCAUGAAAUGUAGGUGUCGAGGUAGAAUCGGAGUUGAAAUCUGUAUCGGGGAGUUGUACUGGAUCGAGUGGAAUAAAUCUGGCAGCGUUUCUCUGGAAACGCAAUUGGGUUAAGGAAAAAGAACUAGGGAUGAGAAAUGGCCAGAAGGAAAUGCCUCUUCGAGGCUCUGGGUUUGAGAAUCUAGCACACGGGGUAUGCACAGAUAGAGAUAGGGAUGUGACUUUGCAUUUCCCGAGUACUACACAAAUGUACUCGUGGGUAAACCAGGGCUGCGUGUAGGAUGCAAUCUACACUAACAAGCAAACAGACAGAUGCAACAUACAUGCAAUAGAAAAACACACCAGACAAAUCACACUAAGGUGUUUUAAUGCUAGUGGAUGUAUGUACUCCUGGUAUACAUAUACCUACACCGGCGCUGUUGGGGAUAUAACUAUUAGGUAUGACCCGCGCAGGAGGGGCUGGGUUAUACCUAUGGUGAUUCAUCUUAUGAAGCCCACGGGGAUAUUUGAAGAUGGCAGUUUAGUUAAGGGCCCAAGGCCCAAAGGCGACUUAAGGCCUGUGAGGGUAAACCGCCAUAUAUGUAUGACUUGUAUUGUAAGGCAAGAAUAGAUAGUCACCGAGCCGGGCACUGUUUAUGAGCCGGCCGGGACUCCGUGAGCCACUGGGCGUCACCUAUGUAUAUAAAGGGACGACCCGACAUCGAUUCAGGACAAGAAACAAUAGAUUGAAAGCUAGGUCAAGCGGAUUUGCUCCCUGAUAAUCGAGACAUAAGCAAUACCACCUCAAACUAGAUUAGGCCUUUACCUUCACUGCAAGGGGCUGAACCAGUAUAAACUCCCGUGUCCUUUGUCCCGUUUAACCUCUUUAAGAUACCUAGUUGUGAUGGCUCCACGACUAAGUCCUUUUGCUAGGACAUCUGCCGUGACCUUUCCAUGACAGUUGGCGCCCACCGUGGGGCCAGUGCAUGGUGGUUUUGAGUUCUUGAAGGGCAGCUUCAAAGGGCUCAAGUGAUACGUUGUGGGCCGAAUGACCAAGAUUCGUCGCGGCAAGCUCUACAUCGAUGAUGUAGGCUAGGGCCCCGAGGCCGGCUCAAUUGAGUACGGGUGCCGGGUCCCCUUCGGUGGAAUCCAUGUCUUCAUCGGAAGAUCGGCGAGCCGGGCCUUGAGCCGGACAUCUGCACAGACAUCAUCGAGACGGCUCAGCGUGCAAGACCCGCCCGAGCUCAGCCCGCCAUGAAGCGUGCCUUCAUGGGAUGCAUCCAUGGAGCAGAAUUUGAUGAAGGAUCUAUGUCUGGCGGUGAGAUGGCCAUCUACUCUGAUGGCGAGUCAUCCACGGGCGAGACUACUUCGCUGUAUCAGCUGCAAGAUGGCGGGCUUGGGGGCUAUUCCGAUGGCAAUAGUAUUCCGGACCCCUAUGAGCCGCUAAACAGAGUUGGGAUCUUCAUGGCUGGGACACAGCCUAGGCAGAAUUCUUCAACCGCCGCAGCGAUGAUUUUCGGGUCAGCAACGGUGACGGCAGCCGGGGCAGGAGGCCAUGUGCCCCCGCCGGCUCAGGUUUUGAUGGCUUUAAUGGAUAAAUUGACAGCUUUGUUAACCGCCAUGGUCAACCCGGAGAAUCAAGCUCAGCAUGAUGCGGAGGCGGCAAAGUUACGUGAUGAGGUAGCACUGGCCAAGGAAGACCUGGCGGCAGAAGACGUCAAGAUAGCCGCAGAACGGGCUGCUUUAGAUGCUCAGGCCCAACGGAUUCAGUCAGAAGCUUUCCGGCUCACAAUGGAUCAAAAACAUCAAAUGAAGUCAUGAGGAGGAGGCACCAGACACGUUUACCUCCGGUUUAUGAGGCAAGAAACCUCUUUUGUACGCCCGGAGCGGGGACCAGUAACCCGCCGGAGAUAAAUCGGGCUGCGGCACCUGGAGUUGGGACACCGGGUCAACCACGCAUGAUGGAACCCCCUCGUCUGCGUACCGCUCCACCUCAACAUGUACCAACGCCGCCGGGUCAUUAUUCUAUUCCUUUGGAGAACAUGAUUGCUGCCGCAACGCGAUUGGUGGCUCUCCCGAUGGAUGGCGACUCUCCAACGGCGGUUGAAACACGAAGGGUCAGAGAACUUCUUCAGAUAGCAUUGGCGUAGCAGAAGGCAUAUUCUUACAGCCGAGAUAGGAUUCACUCGACCCCUCGCCCAAGCCAGAGUUAUAGUAGGCACAUGGACUCACCAGUCGUGUCAAGCAACACCCAGCGCCAUGUCCAGCCGCGUGGGCAUGACCCGACGCGUGAUGGAGCUCCUAACUUGGUGGAUCAGGAUAGAGUGCGUAAAUAAGCCGAGUAGGCGGCUCAGCAGGUGGCUCACCAGCCCCUUCUAGUUUAUCCAGCGACUUCGGUUGAGGCAGGCGUGACAUCUGGAUCUACAGGUGUACCCUGCUUGGUGUCGGCUCUACGUAAUGAGCGUUUGCCCAAGGAUUUCAAAGGACCUCGAAAGGAGCCUAAUUACAUAGCCGACUUACCCCCGGAGGCGUGGAUUGAAAGUUAUGAGAUGGCCAUGGAAUUACUGGAAGUCAGUGACGCUGCGUGUGCCAAGUACUUCACCAUGAUGCUGGAUGGAACGGCACGUACUUGGUUAAAGUUAAUGCCGGCUAAUUACAUCGGGUCAUGGGCUGAGCUAAAAGCCCGGUUUAUUCAAAACUUCAAGGACACAUGCAAGCAGCCCAUGUCGAUCGUGGACUUGGCGACUUGCGCCCAAGAGGAGGGUGAAUCAACGACCCAUUGGGUGCGCCGGGUCAAAGCUAUCAUACAUUCAUCUAAUAACAUGAAUGCCGGCUCUGAGGUCUUAAUGUUGGAGAAAAAUUGCCGUUUUUUGUCUCUUAAACAGAAGUUGGGGCGGCUCAAGCGCUAUUGCAAUGAUAUGGGGCAGCUGAUGGCAGCUCUAAUCAAAUAUGCCGACUCUGAUAGUACCAAGGACCCUGAGUCUGACGAUGAGAAGACAGGGAAGGGAAAGAAGAACGGUAACACCAAGGGUCAACAGCAUAACCCAGUGAAUCAGGGGGGCAACGGUAAAUGCAAGGCGGAUGGUAGCUCGGAGUUUGUGGCUAACACCAAUGCACAUGGCAAUAAUCAGUGUCGUAAGGGUUGGCCGCCUCCUCGAAACAGUGGACCAGGUCCUACUCUUGAGUAGUUGCUUAACGAGCCCUGUCCAAAGCAUGGCACACAGGAGAAACCAACUACUCACCUUUGGAAGGAUUUUUCCAUUAUGAGGUCUUUCAAAAAUUUGGACUCAUUUCACAGCAAUCAUGGGCCAGGCGGCGGCUCAGGCGGCAUCAGUUCUCAUGGUCCGGGUUAUGGAGGUGGCGGUUCUAAUUCCGGCUUCCAGGGCCACUAGGGCAAUCAGGGUGGUUUUAAUCAAGGCAAUCAGGGUGGUUAUAAUCAGCAAUCCGGCCAGGGGGGCCAGCAGCAGCAGCAAUCUGGAUUUCAGAGUAAUCCGAAAUAGCUGAAUAGUGGCCAGUAUCAUGUUUUCACCACAAGUUUAUGCAAGCGGGACCAGAAGCUCCAUAAGCGGGCCGUGAACGCCGUUGAGCCGGCGGUUCCUCAUUACUUGCGAUGGUCUUAGUAGCCCAUUAUGUGGAGUAGAGCGGACCACCCUCCCGGGGUUGACAAUCUGGGUCACUUGGCCUUGGUGGUGGCACGUCAAGUUGGUGGAUACAAAUUCGCUAAGGUGCUCAUGGAUGGAGGCAGUAGCAUCAACAUCCUUUAUUAUGAGACUUUCCGUCGCAUGGGGUUAACUAAUAAAAAUCUUAAGACAUCCAACACUGUUUUCCAUGGAGUGGUGCCGAGUAAGUCGGUGUACCCAGUGGGCAAGAUUGAGCUGGAGGUGGCCUUUGGGGAUGAACAUGAUUCCAGGGCUGAAAAGUUAACCUUUGAAGUGGUCAAAAUCAAAAGCCCGUACCACGCUCUGUUUGGACGGCCGGCUUAUGCCAAGUUCAUGGCACGACUGUGUUAUGUUUAUCUGCAGCUCAAGAUGCCAGGUUAUAAGGGGACCAUCACAGUUCAUGGGAGUCGGAAGAUAGCCCUGGAAUAUGAAGACGGGGAUGCUGCUUAUGCUGAGUCCGUCUGUGCAACGGAGGAAUUGAAGUUUUACAAGGACAAUGUUGACCCGGCGGAUAUGACAUCUUUGAAAAAGCCAACUACAGAGCAUGAUCCGGUGCUGAAGUUUAAGUCGGUGGAUGACACCAAGCUAGUUGAUUUUGUUCCUGGCGACUCAUCCAAGCAGUUCAGUAUCAGUUCUAAUUUGGAUCCAAAAUAGGAAAGCACGCUCAUCGAGUUCAUCCAUGAGAACCGGGACAUCUUUGCAUGAAAACCUUCUGACAUGCCGGGUGUACCGAGGGAACUCGCUGAGCACACUCUCAAUAUUGAUCCGAAAUUUAAGCCGGUCAAGCAAUUCCCUCGUCGUUUCAACGAGGAGAGGCGUAAGGCCAUUGGUGAAGAAGUGACCCGACUCUUGGCGGCUGGGUUCAUUCUUGAAGUUUUUCAUCCAGAGUGGUUGGCUAACCCGGUGCUAGUCCUUAAGAAGAAUGGCACUUGGCGCAUGUGUGUGGAUUACACGGACUUAAAUAAGGAUUGUCCGGCUGAUCCUUGUGCUCUCCCUCGUAUUGAUCAAAUCAUUGAUGCUAUGGCGGGUUGUGAGCGUUUGAGUUUUUUGGAUGCUUAUUCUGGUUAUCAUCAGAUCAAAAUGGCAGUUAAGGACCAGGAGAAGAUAGCUUUCAGUACUCCCUUUGGAGCCUUCUGCUAUGUGUCUAUGCCUUUUGGGCUCAAGAGCGCCCAGGCGACUUAUCAGCUAUGUGUACAGAAUUGUCUUCACAGUCAGAUUGGGUGCAAUGUUCAUGCUUAUGUGGACGACAUUGUGGUGAAAUCCAGAGAGAAGGAAACCUUGAUAGAUGAUUUGAAAGAAACCUUCGAUAAUCUCCGGGCCUACAAGAUGAUGCUUAACCCGGCCAAGUGUGUUUUUGGUGUGUCAGCAGGCAAGCUUUUGGGUUUUCUGGUUUCUAACAGAGGCAUUGAGGCUAACCCGGAGAAGAUCAAGGCCAUCACCUCCCUGGCUAAGCCGGCGUGUAUCAGAUGAUGAAGAAAACAGAUAACUUCGUCUGGAGUGAUGCUGCUAACGACGCAUUUGAAGACUUGAAGAGGCAGGUAGCUGAGCCGCCAGUCCUUGCUACUCCUAUUGAUAAAGAGCCAUUAUUGUUAUAUGUGGCCGCUAACACCCGUGCCAUCAGUGUGACCAUUGUGGUGGAGUGGAAGGAGGCUGGCAAGGAAUAUCCAGUUCAACGGCCGGUUUACUACAUCAGUGAAGUGCUUAUUGAGUCCAAGCAGAGAUAUCCACAUUGACAGAAGCUCGUUUAUGGGGUGUUCAUGGCCAGCCAGAAGCUUAAGCAAUAUUUUCCGGGUCAUCCCAUCACCGUGGUCAGUUCUGCUCCGUUAGGAGAUAUUAUUCAAAACAGAGAAGCCACAGGACGAGUCGCCAAGUGGGCCAUUGAACUUGGACCUCAUAGUUUGAAGUAUGUGCCUUACACUGCUAUCAAGUCUCAAGCACUGGUGGAUUUCAUCAACGACUGGACAGAGCUGCAGAUGCCCGAAGAGAAGCCAGGUAACACAUAUUAGACUAUUCACUUUGAUGGGUCCAGUUAGUUGGAAGGCUCGGGCGCUGGAGUUGUCUUAGCUUCCCCUCAAGGUGAAAAGUUUUGUUAUGUUCUAAGGUUGAUGUUUCCCUGCACUAAAAAUGCAGCUGAGAACGAAGCCUUGCUCCAUGGUCUUCGGAUGGCUAAGGAGAUGAACUUAAGCCGGGUGAGAUGUUUCGACGACUCAGAUUUGGUGUCUCAACAAGUCUCAGGCACAUGGGAUUCUAAGGACCCACUCAUGGCGGCUUAUCGCCAAGUUGACGCUAUUGCUGGUCACUUCAAGGGUUAUCAAGUGGAACACAUCAAUCACAGGAAAAAUGAGGCGGCUGAUGCCUUAAGCCGGUUGGGCUCUCCACGUAAGCCGGUGCCACCUAACACUUUCUUGGAUAUUCUGCAUAACUCUUCUAUCAAGUUGCCUACAGAGGAAGACCUGACUGUUCCGGACUCGGAGGCACAAUUGGUGGUGGCUAUUCAUACUAUCCCAGAUUGGACAGUACCAUAUUUGGCUUACAUGGCCUGGGGCGAGUUACCUGAGGAUGAAACUUUGGCCAGGCAGAUAACCCGGCGGUCUAAGUCAAUGACAAUUGCCAAUGGCGAGUUACACCAUCGUAGUGUCACUGGGGCGUUUCAGCGUUGCGUUUCUCCUGAGGAAGGUAGUAAGAUUCUUCAUGAGAUCCAUGAGGGAGAUUGUGGUCAUCAUGCCGGCUCAAAAUCCCUUGUGGCCAAAGUGUUUCGUCACGGAUUCUAUUGGCUGACGGCUCAUGCGAAUGGAGAGGAUAUGGUCAGUAAAUGUGAUGGAUGUGAGAAAUUUUCAAGGCGAGCUCAUGUGCCGGCUCAAGAAUUGAGGAUGAUUCCAAUUACUUGACCGUUUGCAGUCUGGGGGCUUGAUAUGGUUGGACCAUUUAAAAGGUCCAAUGAUAAAAAGACCCACCUCUUGGUGGAGGUUGACAAAUUUACAAAGUGGGUUGAAGCAGAGCCGGUCCGUAAGUGUGACGCAGCAAUGGCGGUUCAGUUCAUCAAAAAGGUGAUUUUCCGCUUUGACUUUCCCCACAGUAUCAUAACUGAUAAUGGCACUAACUUGUCCAAGGGUUCUAUGAAAGAUUUUUGUCAAUGUGAGCAUAUUCACCUUGAUGUGUCAUCAGUAGCUCACCCCCAAUCCAAUGGUCAAGCUGAAAGAGCCAAUCAAGAAAUUUUGAGAGGCAUCAAACCCCAGUUUAUGGUUCCUUUGCAACAGACGCCGGGUUGUUGGGUGGAGGAGUUACCUUUUGUGAUAUGGAGUAUCAAUACUACCCCCAACAGAUCUACGGGUUACAUGCCUUUCUUCAUGGUUUAUGGAGCAGAGGCGGUUCUCCCUAGUGACAUCCGUCAUGAUUCUCGUUGCGUGGCGGCUUACAUUGAAGUUGAUAUUGAAGAAGCACGUCAGGCUGCACUUGACCUGUUGGAUGAGAAGCGCGAUCUUGCGGCAGCCCGUUCGGUGAUUUAUCAACAAGACCUGCGCUGUUACCAUAGCCGCUGGGUUAAGUCCAGAACCUUUCAAGAAGGUGAUUUGGUGCUCCGGCUCAUCCAGGAUCAAACUGACAUGCACAAGCUAUCCCCACCUUGGGAAGAGCCCUUUGUGGUCAGCAAGAAUUUUAACAAUGGGUCAUACUACCUUAUCGAUGUUCGAGAGCACAAAGACUCACAUAAGUCGAAAGAGGAGACCCGCCGGCCGUGGAAUAUCGCUCAUCUUCGGCCUUACUACACUUGAGCCACCGGCUCUUAUGAUGUACAUAUUUUUGAUGAUGUAUAUAUUAUGAUUUUAAUAAAGCAGGGUCUCUGUCGUUUCAUCCUCAAGAAUCAUGUAUCUUCAUUAUCAUAAGUUUAAAAGACCAAAUGGGGGCUGGAUCGUAUUCGAAUCGUAGCUUUAACCCCUUUUGGCCGGCUUCCUGGUCAUAUUCGAAUCAUAGCCGUAAACAUUUUGAUCAUCUGGGGGCUUGGUCAUAUUCAAAUCACAGCUAUUAACCCCUUUUGGUCCGGCUCAUGAUCGUAUUCGAAUCAUAUCUGUUAAAAAAUUUGAUCAUUAGGGGCUUGAUCGUAUUUGAAUCAUGGCUAUUAACCCCUUUGGUCCGGCUUCCUGGUCGUAUUCGAACCAUAGCCAUAAACACUUAGAUCACUUGGGGGCUAGAUCGUAUUUGAAUCACAGCUAUUAACCCCUCCUGGUCCAGCUCAUGAUCGUAUUCGAAUCAUAGCCGUUAAAUACUUUGUUCACUUGGGGGCUUCCUGACCGUAUUCGAAUCAUAGCUGUUAGUACCCCUUUGAUCGACGCAAUGCCAAAAACCAUUUGGGGGCUUCCUGAUCGUAUUCAAAUCAUAGCUAUUAACCCUCUUGGACCGGCUUCCUGGUUGUAUUCGAACCAUAGCCUUGUUUUUUGUCAUUUGGCUUGAUUUCUUGAAAAUUUUCCGGUUCUUCUUGUCUUUUGGUUUAAAUUAAUUCUGGCCAUGUAGCCUUUACUUUCACGGCUCAUAUUUGAAGCUUACCUAUGGUUUCUAUCACCCAGCUUACUAAAGAGGCGACAAGUCAUCUAUACAUAGUAUUAUCAGGCACUUGGAAGUAUUGGAUCUUACAAGCUUUUGGGUGUUCACCCUUAGUGCACAGGUCUCGAAAACCGACAGUACGAUUUAAUAUCAAAGGUAUGAUAUUGCUAUUAUGUUUAAAUUCUAUUUAAACCAGCUUUAUCUAUAAACUGUUUUCAACAUUAGUGGUCAUAUGCGAGAUAUUAUGACCCGCCCAACGGUAAACCGCCAAGGGAUCUUAUGAUCUAUUUUGUGUGCAAGAUAAUUCAAAAAAUUUACCUGCGCCAGUUGAACAAUCUGAUAAGUAUAAAGAGGAUAAUUAUAAAGCGGCGGCUUAACAGUAUGGAGCAUAACACAAAAACAUGCACGAUGGCACGACAGAGAAAAGUUAUUGCUACCCUAUUACAUGACUCCCAGAGUCUAAAUAAUUAACUGUUUUUUCAGAAGGCCACACAUAUGAACCGCCCAGCGGGUCAAUCUUCUUGAUGGCCUGAUGCUUCCGGAUCAUCCCUCUCCGCUUCUUUGUCCUGAUCUAUGUCCUGGAAGGUUGGUGACGACCAGUCAAUGCCACUCAAAGCUUGGAACUCAGCUUCAUCAUCAAUUAGCUUGGAUGGGUCAACUUCAGGGGAAAAAGUGUGCUUACAGAUUAGGAGGAUCAGGCCCGUCACUUUGUAAGACGGUGUUGGCAUCUUCUGAUUUCCUACGUCAUAAGCUGGGUGAUACUUGGUGAGGUCCGUCUCACUGGCAAUCAGACUGGCCAGAGGCUGUAUCUCCUUCACGCAAGCAGCAAGGUCCUUCUGUUCAAACGGAGUGUCGUCUUCCUUGAAGCUUGGAUACCCGAUAGAGAUAUCGACCGAGUCUAAUUCCGAUAACCAUGCUUUGGCCCGGCUUAAGGCAGUCACGGCUCCGGCUCUCACAGGUGACCGCUUCAUUUCACUAAACCACUGGGGCAGCAUGGAAAGUUUCCUUAACACAUCAACCAAGAGCGUGGGGGUUUCAUUGGAUGGAGAAUUUUUUUUGGCACUUCAUUGGAUGGAGAAAUUGUGGCCAAUGCACGCUGAGCACCAGUAUAAAGCUGCUCCACCAAUGUAUAAACCGCCUUUAGCUUCACAAGCAUGUCUUGGUUGAGAUUUUUGUUCCCAGGGCCUGCAUAAUAAUCACGGAAGGGUUAAAAGCAGAUAAUAUCGUCAAGGAAGAUAUUCAAAUUUGACAAUUAUAAGGCAACUUACCAAAGAUAGCAGACACCAUCUACGACACUUGGCGUUUUAAGCCUGUAACUUCAGUGGUUGCUUCCUGGAGAGCUGCCUCCGCCUUUUCCGUGUCAAGGCAAUCUUUUCUUCAGCCCAGGCACUUUUUUUUAGCUUCAAAGCCGGUUCUGAGUUUUUCUACCUCCCCACGCUAAAUUCGAACUUUGAGUUCGCCUUCUCGGUCUCAGCCUCUUGCAGCUCUACACGGGUCUUCAAGUCAGACAACUCUGAUUGAAGUUGAGCAGUGGUGGUAUGUAUAUAUACCAGAUUAAAGUCAUAAUUUAACGUUAGUUCAACAUAUUAAGUCCCAAGCCUUUUGGAAGCAACAACACUUGGCGCUUGGGGGCUAAUGUCUACCGAAAGCUCUAUUUAUGUGGUGGCUUAUGUGAAUAAGUCCCAAGCACUUUGCGAGAAAGAGUACUUGGCACUUGGGGGCUAAUGCAUAUUGCUUGUCUUGUUGCAAUUUUACGAUGACACCUUGGUGCUACAACCAGCCAUAACCGCCUCAUGAGAACUACAUAACUUUAAGCCGGAUUUUGAAAGGAUUGUUUCAUAGGUUAUUAUUCAUGUUCAUGGUGAUCAAGUCUACAACAUAUUCAAAAUAAGCAGUAAAGUUGGGGGCUUGCAGGAUAUGCAAAACUUAAGAGUGGAAGAGAUCAUACCUCAAAUUUGUGGUGCAUCUGCUUCACCAUGUCAACUUCAAGGUCACGGCUGCUGUGUACUUGGUUGAGAAAGCCAGAGUAUAUUUCACCAAUGCCCAGUUGAGCAUAGUUGGAGACAUCAAAUCGCACUUUGCGCGGCCCAACAUGUUCUUCCUUGGGAGAAUUCUUGGCCAGCAUAGUAGGUCUCCCCAGUUCAGUAAAGCCGGUCUUGGUGAUCUCUACAUCAUCAUCUUGUGUGUUUCCUGUCUUGACAGGUGUCGGUGUCAAAACCGGCGGAUCUUGGGUAGGGGGUCCCGAACUGUGCGUCUAGACGGAUGGUAACAGGAGACAAGGCACAGGAUGUUUUUACCCAGGUUCGGGCCCUCUCGAUGGAGGUAAAACCCUACUCCUGCUUGAUUAAUAUUGAUGAUAUGGGUAGUACAAGAGUUGAUCUACCACGAGAUCAGAGAGGCUAAACCCUAGAAGCUAGCCUAUGGUAUGAUUGUUGUUCGUCCUACGGACUAAAACUCUCCGGUUUAUAUAGACACCGGAGAGGGUUAGGGUUACACAGAGUCGGUUACAAUGGGAGGAGAUCUACAUAUCGUAUCGCCAAGCUUGCCUUCCAUGCCAAGGAAAGUCCUAUCCGAACACGGGACGAAGUCUUCAAUCUUGUAUCUUCAUAGUCCGCGAGUCCGGCCAAAGGUCAUAGUCCGGCCAUCCGGACACCCCCUAAUCCAGGACUCCCUCAGUAGCCCCUGAACCAGGCUUCAAUGACGACGAUUCCGGCGCGCAAAUUUGUCUUCGGCAUUGCAAGGCGGGUUCCUCCUCCGAAUACUUCAUAGAAGAUGUUGAACACAAGGAUAGUGUCCAGCUCUGUAAAAUAAGUUCCACAUACCACCGUAGAGAGAAUAAUAUCUGCACAAAUCUAAUAUGCUGACGUAUUCCGUAGCGUGACUUCAUGCCACAACCAAGCCUUCAUUUGAAUCGUUUUACUGUCCCACCUCAGCGUGUUUAGCGAGGCGGUUUCCUUGGCACGUCUUGUCAAAGCAGAGAUUGUGUCCCCUUAUUCCGGGAUUCUCAUCAAUACGGGCGUGGGUAACCCAACCACGCCAUCAAUCGCGGCGCUUGGGAGAUAACCGAGCUUUACUAGGCUGGUGGGGGCACGCAGUUUCGGCCGCCCAUAUAAGGGGAUAAGAAUUCACCCUUUCAAUCUAUGCCUUCUUCCUCCUUUGCUUAUCCAUUUCCGUGCACUCGAGCUCCAGCGCCCAAGACCGCACUUCCCACCUCAACCUUCUCCAAUCAUGUCUGGAGCGGGAGGUAGAUGGAUGGCCUCCACCGUUACGGAGGGGCACAUCAAAAAGUUGAGGAAAGCCGGAUAUUUGUCUAACGACAUCGCGCACCGGCUCCCAGAUGAGGGGCAACUCAUCCCCACCCCUAGGCCCCAUGAGAGGGUGGUGUUCCUCACCCAUUUCCUCCGCGGACUGGGCUUCCCACUUCACCCAUUUGUCCGGGGGCUCAUGUUCUACUACGGCCUGGAUUUCCAUGAUCUGGCACCGAACUUCAUCCUCAACAUCUCGGCGUUUAUUGUGGUGUGUGAGGUCUUCCUCCGCAUCCAACCCCACUUCGGCUUAUGGCUGAAGACCUUUAAUGUCAAGCCGAAGGUCGUGGGCGGCCAACAAGUGGAGUGCGGAGGCGCCAUGGUGGGCAAGAUGGCCAAUGUCACAUGGCUCAAGGGCUCCUUUGUGGAAACCAUCAAAGGGUGGCAAUCGGGGUGGUUCUACAUCACCGAACCGCGUGACCCUGAAUGGGCAGCGGCCCCCGAGUUCCGAUCUGGCAUCCCCACACGGCUCACCUCAUGGAAAGAGACGGGCCUAUCAUGGGGUAAUUCAUCAGAGGUGACCGGACUCCAAACCUGCAUCAAAGACCUGAUCGACAGGAAGGUGAAACUUGUCACCGUAGUCCAGGUCAUGCUCUUCUGCCGGAUCCUCCCGUGUCAACGACGGGCUUUUAAUUUGUGGGAAUUUGACCGGGCCCAGCACCAAACUUUGUCCAGGCUCUUCGACACAACGCACGAAGAUGCCUGGAAGGUGCUUUUCAAGAGCUCCGAGGUUCACCCUCCCAUUACCGAGGAUCGCGGAUUCUGCGCGAAGCGCCAAGCCAACGCGGUAAGCUUAGUUUACCCAUUACAGGGUACUUGUUUUUCAUAGUUUGACUCUAUGCGGGAUCUAAACUCCCAUUCCUUUAACAGGACUGGCAGAAGAAUUCCGGACAGAUCGACUGUCCGGCUCCUUUGCCCGAAGGCCCAGCAGAUGCCCGUUUGGCAAAGCUGCUGGUUCCGGCACCUCACGUGGUGCCGGAGAAGAAGGCCAAGAAAAAGGCCACGGGGACUCGAAAGAGUUCCCGGCGCCUGGUGGUGUCGGAUUCAUCGCCUGACGACCCCGAAGCGCACUCCGCCUCUGAAGACGAGGAGGAGGAAGAAGAAGCCUCUCCCCCUCCAACGGGGGGAGGAAAGAAAAGGAAGGCCGCCUCAACUGGGGAGGCCGGAGGGUCCAAUAAGGGGAAGACCCUUCUUCCGGACUACGCCUCCGACACCGACGACGGUGGAGAAGAAUGGCCAUCCAGGGCCAAGCCCCUGGAAAAAUCGUAAGUAUCCGGAUACCAGAAUAACUUAUGGCGUUCCCCUAUUGUACAGUACCUUCUGACGCCAAAUUCAAUCAUGCGGUCUGCCCAAGGCUCAGCUCGGCGAUUCGUCGAGCGGCUCCCUGGAUUCGUCGGAUGUGAAUAGCGCUUCACUCCCAAUGGCCUCCUUCCCUCGCCCUACGGACGAUGCCGAGGUGGAGUCCCAAAAGGGGCUAAACCAGGAGGAGGUGGUCCUGGAGGCGCCACAAGGCGACCUCCCGGACCCCAGGCCCAAAGGGGAUGAAGCCCCAGAGGGAUCUAAGUCCGGCCCUGGGCCGGACACCGCUCCGGAACCUUAAGUGGUUCCGGAGUCCGGCAGGCGCCCCCUCGCAAGAAGGGAAAGCCUACGACACCGGCGGCCUCUGUCCAACCGGUGGCGCCGGACAAUUUGCUGGAGGUGCUUAACGGCGCCUCCAUCGACGAGGAGCACCACACUGUUAUGAGUGCGGUGAUUCAGAAGGUUCAGUCCGCCAAGAGCGGGCUGACAGAAGCCUGUACCAGCCUUCUAACAGGCUUUGAGGUAUGUAUUUAAAACAUGUAAAAAUGUUACCGCAUAGACAGUAGCCCCGGAUGCUCAGUUUGGUGUUCGGAAAGAAAAGCCAGACUGAGGAUCUAAAAAAGAUAUACGCAAGAGUAUAACAUAAAUAUGUCAAUAUGGGAAUGCAGGCUGCGCUGCUGACCUCUGCCACACUAACUGCGGAGGUCGAUGCAUUGAAGCAGAGCCUCGAGCGGUCCGAGAACGAGUUCGGCCGUGCCAAGAAGAAGCUCACGGACACGGAAGGUAUGUAAUACCUUAUGUAAGUAUAUAAAAAAUACCUGGUUGCAAAUAAUGACAGGACCAACGUGAAUGUUGCAAGGUCCACAACUGAGGUGGUGGCCCUGAAGGAAGCGUUGUCCAAGGCCAAAGACAAUGCGGCCGUGGAGCGCACUGAGCGAGAAAAGCAAGAGGCGCGGGUGGUGGAGGUGCAGCAAGAGCUCAAUGCUCUCGUGAAGAAACACGAGGGUUUGGAGCUUGACUCAAAGACGCGAGAGUCCGAGCUUGCCUCGGCACUUGAAAGUGCCAAGUCUGCCAAGGCCGAAGCCCAAAAGUCCCUUCAAGAAAUUGAGGCGAUGAAAAAGAUAGCGGCGGGUAAGGCAUUCUUUAUGCAAAGCAAGCACGUAAAAGUAAAUUACCUGUUACUUACCCGAGUCCGGAGCUCUCUAGGAGCAUUCGCAGAUCUGCCCCGGAGUGUAUCCCACGCUGCCACAUUCUACCAGGCCGAGGAAGGGAGCUCGACGGAGAAGGUGUUCUGGUCGCACUAUGCUGGGGCUGGACACCCGGUGCCCUUGAGCGACCAGCUGAAGUAGCUGGUUGAGCUUCAUAAGGCAGCCGAACAGGCCAUGAAGGGCCUGAUAGGCCGAUUGUGGCCUGGGGAGGCCAUGCCUUUGAGCUACUUUGGGCUGGUGCGGCGGCUGGUGGAUGCCUGUCCACGGCUUGAAGUCAUCAAGCGCUCCAUAUGCAUCGAGGGCGCCCGUAGGGCUUUUGCCCGUGCUAAAGUGCACUAGGGCAAGCUGGAUGCUGAGAAGCUGGUGAAGGAUGGGCCACCGGAGGGGAAGGAGCAUCGCAGGCCCGAGAUGUAUUAUGAGGGUGUCCUGAAGGGUGCCGUCUUGUAGCGAAUGAAUGUACCAGGGAUGUAAUUUUUGAGUAAACUCGCUCGUGUUUAUCCUGUGCGCUGAAAACUUGUUCAUAUGCGCCAAGCAACGCCUUUUGAAUUUAAAAUAUUACCUUCUGUGCGGCCGUUUAUUAAAUCUGAGAGAUGCAAGUCGUCGGCUUCUACCGCCAUGCCACGAGUGCUGGGGUGUUCGGGAUAAACCUGAGCACUCUUGUUCCCAUUCUUGGGUCCAUCGAGGGAGGCGCUCAACACAACGAACAAGGAAAUCGGACUUAUAAUGCUUUAUCACUCUCACUUAGCCAUAGAAUUCUAUAAUUUUAAAUUUCGGCGAAGCCCCUAGUAUUCGGAAGACCGAGUUCGGGGCGCUAUCCACGCCUGGGCCGGACAAAGCCAGCUCAUCGCUCUAAGCAGCAUAAGUCUUUAAGGACUCGAAAAACCUCUUGAAUAGCGACCGGUCUCUCACCCUAUCAUGACAGUCAGUUUUAGCUUUCUCUACUGAGGUGUUAACCCAGCUCAACUGGGGCACAAUCGUAGUAGUUCUCCCAACGCUACCUUAGUCGACAUAGCGGAACAUAAGGUACCAAAACAUGGGAGCCGGGCAAACCCAACUAUUGACCCAAGACAUGAUUCGGAGCUGAUGCAUAUAAUGCUAUAAGUUCGGGGUGCCGCACUCAUGAGAGUGUUCGGUCUUCUCACACCGUAUUAUGGGGUACUUAAGCCCCUGAUGUAUUGGUCGUACCAAAGUGUACGGUUGCAUAAUGUAAUGACUGAACAUAUUUACAUGAAAAAUGAAUGCAAUAAUAGACAAGAGCUAUGUAUUGUUUAUUAAAGGGCUACUGUGAAAGCAGCAUGAUACAAAUAGUGCGAUAAGCAAGAGAUGGGAUUAUUUGACAUGUCCCCCUCCGGGGGCAAGCUGCGAGACUUUAAGUAAGACAGGUAUUUAGCUCGUUAUAGAGACCACCUGGAUGUUCGACGUGGCUUGCUGUCUCCCUGGCUGUUGCAUCGUGUGUUCGGCGAUUGUAUUGCCGGACAGGUCUUCCGAAGAGUGGAGUCCUGAAAGUAAGAAAAUAGAAAUGACAAAAUAGGGAGCCCCUAGUGCGGUUGAACCGCAUUCUGGGCGAGUCGUGGUUGUGCCCCUCCCCUUAUGCCCAUGGUAUUUCCAGAGUGUAAUUAUGUACGCGUGGUACUGGUAUCGCAAUCUCGCGAGGGCUGGGGUUGGGGCCGCACUGCUAUGUUUGCUUGGAACGUGCCAGACGGUUUUGUUGUAAGUUACUUCGGGCACGUUUGACGUUGUUCGGACAUUUAACAGCCGGACUAGAGAAUUGCCUUGAGAGGCUACUUUGUACUUCCGCCGCCAGGGCUGCCGUGUGCUCCUCUGUUCGGAGAGAGCGUUCGGUGUUUCCAUUGACCGUAAUGACUCCGCGAGGGCCUGGCAUCUUGAGCUUGAGAUAUGCGUAGUGCGACACCGCAUUGAAUUUUGCAAAUGCGGUUCGUCCAAGCAGGGGGUGAUAGCCACUGCAGAACGGGACUAUGUCGAAGAUUAACUCCUCGCUUCGGAACUUAUCCGGGGAUCCGAAGACCACUUCAAGCAUAACUGAGCCUGUACAGCUAGCUUCUACACCUGGUAUGACGCCUUUAAAGGUCGUCUUUGUGGGUUUAAUCCUUGAGGGAUCUAUUACCCAUUUUUUGCACUGUAUCAUGAUAAAGCAGGUUCAGGCUACUGCCGCCGUCCAUGAGGACUCUAGUGAGGUGAAAUCCAUCAAUGAUUGGGUCUAGGACCAAUGCAGAAUCCGCCAUGACGAAUGCUAGUGGGGUGGUCCCUUCGAUCAAAAGUGAUCGGGCAGGAGGACCAUGGGUUGAACUUUGGGGCGACUGGCUCCAACGCAUAGACAUACUUGAGAGCACGCGUCCGUUCCCUUUAGGGGAUAUGGGUUGCGUAUAUCAUGUUCACCGUCCGCACUUGUGGGGGAAAGCUCUUCUGUCCUCUGUUGUUCGGCGGCUGGGGCUCCUCCUCGUCAUCGCUGUGCAUCCCCUUGUCUCUGUGUUUGGCACUUGCCUGCCUGCUUGAACACCCAACAAUCCCUGUUGGUGUGAUUGGCUGGUUGUUCGGGGGUGCCAUGUAUCUGGCACGAGCGGUCGAGUAUCCGGUCUAAACUGGACGGGCCUGGAGUAUUUCUUUUGAAUGGCUUUUUCCGCUGACCGGGUUUAGAGCCUCUGAAUCCGGCAUUAACUGCCGUAUCCUCAGUAUUGUCGCCGUUAAUGCGGCGCUUGUGCUUGUUACGACGCGACCUGCCAUUGUUGUCCUUGGUAUCCGAAUUAUGAGGGCUCUUGGUCAUGUUAUUGCUACGAGCUAGCCAGCUGUCUUCUCCCUUGCAAAAGCGGGUCAUGAGUGUCGUGAGGGCUGCCAUAAAUUUCGGCUUUUCCUGUCCUAGGUGCCGGGCAAGCCAUUCGUCUCGGAUGUUAUGUUUGAAGGCUACAAGGGCCUCUGCGUCCAGACAGUCGACUAUUUGAUUUUUCUUGGUUAGGAACCGCGUCCAGAAUUGUCUGGCCGAUUCCUCUGGCUGCUGAAUUAUGUGGCUUAGGUCAUCGGCGUCUGAUGGUCGCACAUAAGUGCCCUGGAAGUAGUCAAGGAAUGCGGAUUCCAGGUCCUCCCAGCAACCAAUUGACUCUGCUGGCAAGCUGUUAAGCCAAUGCCGAGCUGGUCCUUUAAUCUUGAGCGGGAGGUAUUUGAUGGGGUGUAGAUCAUCACCACAGGCCAUGUGGAUAUGAAGGAGAUAAUCCUCGAUCCAUACCGCAGGAUCUGUUGUGCCAUCGUAUUGUUCGAUGUUUACGGGUUUAAAACCCUCGGGGAUUUGAUGAUCCAUUACUUCAUCUGUGAAGCAUAGUGGGUGUGCGACGCCUCUGUACUGGGCUAUAUCACGACGUAGCUCGGAUGAGCUUUGUCUGUUGUGUUCGGCCCGGCCGUAUUUGCCAUACCCAACGUGACGGUUAUCAUCACGUGUCGUAUGGCGCCCACGCAAUCCGUAGAUCGAUCUUGUUUGCCUUGCCUUGUCCUCCAAUAUGUCUCGUAGGUCUGGCGCAUUUCCCCGUGCCUUGGUACUUUUUGAGCGGCGCCGGGGUGCGGCUUGAGUUGAGGGCAGAAAGGUCUCUCUGUUGCGGCCACGGGGUGGCCGAUCGGCCGCAUCAUACGCUGGUGGUGUAGGUUUAGUUGCUUCCUCCUCUAGUUGGGGUAGCAGCCUGCGCUUUGGGUAGCUCUUGGAGGGGCGUUCAAGUUUGUACUUUUCGGCCGCCAGGACUUCAGUCCAUCUGUCGGCUAGCAAAUCUUGGUCAGCUCUAAGCUGCUGCUGUUUUUUCUUAAGGCUGCUUGCCGUGGCCAUAAGCCUGCAUUUGAAACGCUCUUGUUCGACGGGAUCCUCUGGCACGACAAAUUCGUCGUCGUCGAGGCUUGCCUCAUCUUCGGAGGGAGGCAUAUAACUAUCGUCCUCGACCUCUCUAUCUGCCACUGUCUUAUGAGGGCUGGCUUCUCCAUCCUGCUGCGCUGAAUCCUGCUGGAAGGGGUUGUCUUCGGCACUGUCCGGGGUGUUAUUUUCUCUGGUGCCGGAAUCACCAUUUUUGCUGUGGCGGGAUUUAGAGCGGCGCCGCUGAUGUCGACGCUUAGGCUGUUUCUUGGAGGGGUCGUCCUCCGUUGUUCCAUCGCCAUUCCCUUCCUUUGGGGUGUCCACCAUGUAUAUGUCAUAUGACGAGGUGGCUUUCCAGUCCCCUAUAGGUGCUGGUUCUUGGUCGUUUCCUUCAUCGGCGUCCAUACCGUCGAUGUCUUUGGAGUCGAAGUCGAGCAUGUCGGUUAAAUCAUCGACAGUGGCUACGAAGUGGGUGGUGGGUGGGUUUCGAAUUUCUUCGUCGUCCGUAUCCCAACCUUGCUGACCAUAGUCCGGCCAUGCUCUCCUGAUAAAGAGAGAGACUUUAGUGAACUCAGGAUGUCGCCAAAGGGAGAGUGCUGAAAGAUGUCCGCGGCGGUGAACUCCAUGAUCGGAGCCCAAUUGGGUUCGAUCAGAAGGGGUGCGGAAGAUUCAGAGUUCGGAAAGGAGGCCGGCACCUUGGAGUCACAAGCUUUAUAAAGGACAAGGCUGGUAUUUGGCUCGAUCACCAUAGAGAUUGCAGCCCCCGAGGUGGCGUCCAACCGUCCGUCCCCGAUUGGCACGGUCGGCUCCGAGCGGACAUCUGAGCGGCGCUCUCGGCAUUGUCCGGCAGCAGAGCUAGAUCAUGCCCAUCGUGACAGUGCGGCGCGCUCGGCUAUGGCUCGAAUCCGUCGAAGAUCAAGUCCUCAUGGAUAUCAACCGUGUAGUUCAAAUUUCCAAAUCUGACCUGAUGGCCAGGGGCGUAGCUUUCGAUCUGCUCCAGUUGGCCAAGCGAAUUGGCCCGCAGUGCAAAGCCGCUGAACACGAAGAUCUGUCCGGGGAGAAAAGUCUCGCCCUGGACUGUGUCGUGGUUGAUGAUCGAAGAAGCCAUCGGGCCUAAAGGUGACGACAUAGAGGAACUCUCAAUGAAAGCACCAAUGUCGGUGUCAAAACCGGCGGAUCUCGGGUAGGGGGUCCCGAACUGUGCGUCUAGGCGGAUGGUAACAGGAGACAAGGGACACGAUGUUUUUACCCAGGUUCGGGCCCUCUCGAUGGAGGUAAAACCCUACUCCUGCUGGAUUAAUAUUGAUGAUAUGGGUAGUACAAGAGUUGAUCUACCACGAGAUCAGAGAGGCUAAACCCUAGAAGCUAGCCUAUGGUAUGAUUGUUGUUCGUCCUACGGACUAAAACUCUCCGGUUUAUAUAGACAACGGAUAGGGCUAGGGUUACACAGAGUCGGUUACAAUGGGAGGAGAUCUACAUAUCGUAUUGCCAAGCUUGCCUUCCACGCCAAGGAAAGUCCUAUCCGGACACGGGACGAAGUCUUCAAUCUUGUAUCUUCAUAGUCCGGGAGUCCGGCCAAAGGUAUAGUCCGGCCAUCCGGACACCCCCUAAUCCAGGACUCCCUCAAUAGGGCUUGAAGCUUCAGGAUUUAAAGAGUCAUCAUUGGCUUGAUCAAUAGGUGGGUCAACAGUCAUUGUUGGAAUAUCAUGAACCGACUCAUACGGUUCAGGAAUAGAGGCCUCAUGCACUGCAUUUUGGAGCUCCGACUCAUUGACUCUCGGCUCUUCGGCCGCCUUGUUCUUCUUUGCCCUCUUACUAGGCUUUGCUUCUCCACUGAAUGAGUCAAAAAGGUCAGUAUAAGUAUAAAAGGAUUAUAAUGAGUAAAUGAUAAGUAAAUCAUCAUUACCUAGGAGCGGUCUUGAAAGCCUAGAUUGUAUUGAGUCACCGAAAGAGGAAUGAGAAGUUUCCUGAUAAUUUGAGUCGGAAGAAUUGAGUGGCCGACGAGUGAGACCCGCCAAAGGAUAAAAAUAGUUUAAGUCGGGCGUGGCCUCAUUUCGACGCUUCCUCGGUGUGUUCGGUAAGCCGGAGGAGAGUUCCAUAUCCUUGCUCGUCUGAGUCUGUCACCGGCUCUCGUGCUGCUGUUGCUUCAAAAUAAAGUGAGGAUCCAGAUGAGCUAAGGGGUGUGAAAAUCUUACUUUCUGGGUUACUCUUUGGACUUUUUGUCUUGGAAAAGGCUCGGAGUUGGAGGAAAUAAUAGUUACCUCUUCUUCCACUCCCUGACUCGUUCCCGUGUCAUCCUAAUGAUAGUAAGUGUCAAUAAGAUGGUGAAAAAAGAGCCAAGAGAAUCAAGGGCUACCUCCGACUCAGAGGUGUCCUCCAGUUGAAGUAAAUCAGAAGCGCUGGGCUUCUUUCCUCUCUUUGGUGGCUCUCCUGGUGGCUUUCUUGGUCUUCCUGGCUCUCUUUGCAGCUUUAUGAUCAUAUUCUUUUUUCCAAAAGUUGUCAUCUUACGAAAAUCAUCAAGGUUGAAAUAAAACAAAGUAUUAAGGGUGAGGGUUAAAUAGCCAGUUCGGCGGCUUACUUUUGGUGCCAGGUUAGACUCGCAGAAAGGGCUUAGGCCCACCUUGCUGCAAUCAGCUAGGCUCUCAUUCAGAAGGGACUUUGUCAUCUCAUUGAUAAGGUCAUCAGUUAACUCCUCGGAGCUGUGGCGCAGUGGAUCCUUUGUGCUACUGGUGUAAGUGCACAUUAAACCGGAGCGGCGGCUCAAGGGGAUGAUCCGCCAUGCGACCCAGCAUCGAACCAAGUCAAUGCAAUUUAAGUCGUUCCCCAACAGAGCCUUGACUUUGGCAAUGGUAGGGGCGAGCCUCUUGCGUUCAGCAGUUGUCAACUUGUCGGGGGGAGGAUGGUUCGAUUCAAGACGCAGGGCGCGAAAGCCGGGAUGUUUCAUUCCAAUCCUUGGGAUGACUCAGCGGCUGCGCAUAAGGGAAAAUGGCGUCUCUUCUUCGCUGAAUUCAGACCCCACCAAGUUCCAAACUAGGUCCAUUGGAGUACUCGUUCUGGAGGUUCAAAUAAAAGUACUCUCUGAAUAACUCCACAGUGGGUUUCUCUUGAAGGUAGACUUCGCAGAACACUUGGAAAAUGCAUAUGUUGGACACGGAAUUGGGUCCGAUGUCUUGAGGAUGGAGGUCGAAAAAGUGCAGAACGUCCCUGAAGAACUUAGAGCCGGGCGGCGAAAAGCCCCGGUUCAUAUGAUCAGUGAAGACAAUGACUUCCCCUUCUUUGGGCUGAGGUUUCUCUUCUGUCGGUUUAGGGGCACGGUAAGACAUGACAUACUUCUUUGGCAAAUAACCAGUUUUCACAAAGUCUUCAAGUGUAUUAUCCGUGACGAUGGAGCGAACCCAGUUACAGGAAGUGGUUGUUUUGGGCGGCAUUGUGAAGAAGGAAGCCUAAAAGGAAAAAGAACAAUGUUUGCUGGUUCAAAUUAAGCCGGACGAAAAGUAUUACAACACUUAUUCAAUGGCGGCUUAAAAAGGGGCCUAAUGGUGUAUGACUAAUUAUAAUAGGUUAUCUAAGCCGCCAUGAGCAGUUUGGUGUUUAUCAAAAGAGAAAUCUGUUGAGCGUUGCAAUUAACUACAACCGAUGGUAUGAGCUGCCUUGACUAGGUGGAUCUAUCAAGGUGCAGUUUUUGCUAAGUACAGUACAAACAGGUUUCACAGAUUGCAAUUAUUAUUUUGGAUCAAUGGCAGUUCAGAAAAAGGAAAUAAUUCAAGACCUAAAACCAGCACAGGGGAGUUCAUAAGCUCUAAUGAGAUCUCUUUCCAAGGAAAGGGGGUCCGCUAGUAUUGAAGGCGAAGGCAAAACAACUACCGCAUAAGUUCUAUAGCAUUUCUAGAUCAAAAGGUGCUACGGUGGAGGAACUAAGAAGGAACUACGAAGAACAUGAAGAAUAGUUGAAACCCUAAUGCGAUCUGAAGCGUUGGGGGAGGAGCACUUACAGAUGCAGAUUAGCUGCGGAGGAGCUCCACCGUUGUCUGGUUCGAUCAGGGUGAUGCAGCGGCCAAGGACGAGGAUGAUGGUGUGCUUCACGGCGGCGGCGGAGCUCGGGUAGCAGAGAGUCACAAGAGGAGGAAGAUGAUGGAAAGAGGGGAGAAUGGAAAGAGGCCAGUCGUGGCUAUUUAUAAGGAGAAAGCCAAUAAGUGGGCGCGAAAGACGAUGAUGCCAAACCGUGGUUAUCCAGUUGCCCAGGCGCCUCGAUUCUCGGGACGGUUAUUAAGAUAAAGAUCCGUUGAGAUAUGUUGGAUAAUGUUUGAAUUAAUGGCAGGUGAUGUCAUGCGGGUUAUCACAAAUCUAGAAGAAGACGUCAUGGAGGGUUAUGAGCUCUUGCACAAAUGAAGAAGAGAUGAUUUUUCUAAAUAUUGAAGAUUUUCAUGAACCAGUUCAAAUCAAUCUGGGGCCUAAUGUUGGGGAUAUAACUAUUAGGUAUGACCCGCCCAGGAGGGGCCGGGUUAUACCUAUGGCGAUUCAUCAUAUGAAGCCCACGAGGAUAUUUGAAGAUGGCUGUUUGGUUAAGGGCCCAAGGCCCAAAGGCGACCUAAGGCCUGUGAGGGUAAACCACCAUAUAUGUAUGACUUGUAUUGUAAGACAAGAAUAGAUAGUCACCGAGCCGGACACUGAUUAUGAGCCGACCGGGACUCCGUGAGCCGCUAGGCUUUAACCUAUGUAUAUAAAGGGACGGCCCGGCAGCGAUUCAGGACAAGAAACAACAGAUCGAAAGCUAGGUCAAGCGGAUUCGCUCCCUGGUAAUCGAGACAUAAGCAAUACCACCUCAAACUGGAUUAGGCCUUUACCGUCACCACAAGGGUCGAACCAGUAUAAACUCCCGUGUCCUUUGUCCUGUUUAACCCCUUUAAGCUACCUAGUUGCGAUGGCUCCAUGACUAAGUCCUUUUGCCAGGACAUCUACCGUGACCAUUCCACGACAAGCGUGCAUUUUAUUAUAGACUCGGGACGAGUCAAUGUUGUUUUUAGUGUAUGUGUUCUACUGAUUAAAAUCUUGUUAGCACACAUUGCCAACCCUGUCAAACAUUUCUGCGUGACAGAGAGACAGACAAAAACAGAAGUAAGCAAGAAAAUAACACAACAUAUGGGUUACAACAGUAACAACAUACAACAAGCACGAAUGCGCUACGCACUAAACAAAACUACUCGCUCUAGGAUACAUGGUUCUAUCCUCAUAUCGGGGAUGAAGCGACAGACCGACCUACUUGCAUAAACCACUGACUGCCUGACUGAGGUCAUGUAGAAGACUGGCCUUGCUCGGGCUCUCCUGGAGGACAAAGACUGAGCCAAUCUCCAUCUUCAUUGUUCGACACUACUAUGGGUUGGGGCUCUUCUGCUGGAGGUGUGGCUGAAACUGAUCCAAGCAAAUGCAGCUGGUGGAUCCAGUAAAGAUCCUUUUCGAGGGUGACGAUGUUUGGUUUAGGCCACAACACAGGCUGAGAGGGUAGCACUGGUUCAGAUGGCAUUGGGCAAACGACUUGAGAUGCAAAUUUACGAGCCUCAUGAUAAGCUUCCCUGACGACUCGUACCGCAUCCUUGUCCAUGGUUCUAAACUCGGCAAGCAUCUUUGAGAUCAUCAUCCCCUGGGCAGUGAUAUAUUGCACCAGACGAGUGACUGCGGGGUCACCUCCUUGGAUAGCGGGAGAAGGCUGAAUUCCUGCUUCUGCCACAAUGGGGAAAAGGCAAAACUCCCACCUUGUUGCCACUUGCGGAAACUUGGUUCGGAGGUAUAGGAUAGCCUCCACAGCAACAUCCUGAAUGGAUAAAUCAGUGGUAGACACGGCUCUACCCUGAAAAACCAAAGGCUACCCAUCUACUGUGGGACCUGGGUUGAUGUGCACUCUUGCAUCAUAGCGAUGAAGGUGAGGGACGGGUGUAGAUUGGAACACCAUGUAAUCGGGGCUAGCAUUACAGCCAAAGGCUUUGGUGAGCAUCUCGGCAAGAAGGGGUGGAAAGUCAGUAUGGUUGAUGGCACAGGUGCGGGUGUAAAACUUGGGAGCUUUGAAGGUGCUAGUCAUGGUUGGAGUGUUGCUAGCUAGGCUUCUCUGCAGGGACAUAGCUGACUGAGGGGCGAGUGAUAUGGCUAGCGGAAAGGGGAUUUAUAGGCAGUUAUGCGGGACAUGCCCGCAUGGUGUGGCCCCUUUCCCUUAAUGGUGAAUGGUAAGUGGUGCGGCCAACCAGAAAGGAUAGGGUUGCUAUUCGUUCCACGGAUAACUAGGCGGGGACAACGGGGUGAGGACGUGUUGGUCCCGACUACGCCACCUGUUGAUUAACAGUGUCCAUGCCAGAUGCCAGGGAUGGGUCAAAUCCCUUAGGGUCAUUACGGGUUGAUGGUAGCGGUUAUCUAAUGCUAGGAUAACCUAUGCCAGCCUGGCUGCUCUGAUACCAUCUCUUGUGGCACCCCAAUUUGCUUGGAGCAGGGGGCCCUCGCACGUCAGCCCAGGAUAACACAUGAUGCAUGACAGGUCCAUGAUACAACAUUCCAGGUACAAGAGUAUUAAUCAAAUACAUGUGUAUAAGAUUACAUCAUUGAUGAAUACAAUCUUCUGGCAUAACCCAACGACUAUUUACAUGGCAGCGGAAGUCUAUAUAAAUGGCGGCGGAAGUCUUGGUUUGGUAGCAUAAUACUCUGGCCGGGCUCCAUAACUCAUAGGACUGGCAAGAUUACAACCUAGCACGACGGAACAAGCGAAUAAUCUGGGCACGACCUACAAAACUGGCAUGACACGCCAGGUCCGUACAUUGAAUGUACUUGCAAGACAACCAAAUACAUAGCAUCCAAACGAACAGAUGACAAACCAAGAACCAAGCAUAUGCAACAAUCUACUUUAGCACAACUUAUAACAUGGCAUGCUAUUAACUAGAAUCAUAAAUCAAACUAAGCAUGAACAACAUCAUAGCAUCUACUAGCAUGCCAUAUCAAACUUACUUUAACAUAGCAACAACAAAGCAUAGCAUAUCAAAACAUGGCAUGGCAUUAAGAAACUAUGCUGAAAAUAAACUACCAGUUACCUCCCGUGAAGAGAUAUAGCAUUAACCUCAUGCAACAAUCACUUACUCUGCCACGGCUCCUCGGAGCAAACUUAUGGCUUACAGAGACCUCAUCUCAUGAUCAUAUCAACACAUCAUCUUGACUUCUCACGAUUAUCUCAUAGUUUCCAGUCACCACAUUAUUUAUCACAUCUUAGUUAUCACCUUAGUUAUUAACAUGUUUAUCCUCCAUUUCGACCAAGACCCGAUAGUGUGACCUACUACGAACUGUGCCCAUGACCGAGGACGCGACUAUCGAUAGAUUUAAC
Molecule: long non-coding RNA, 45690 nt
Filed under: Triticum aestivum (bread wheat)
Lineage: Eukaryota; Viridiplantae; Streptophyta; Magnoliopsida; Poales; Poaceae
Description: long non-coding RNA (TAES_LNC022978)
Source: RNAcentral